Molecule: long non-coding RNA, 57938 nt
Filed under: Gossypium barbadense (sea-island cotton)
Lineage: Eukaryota; Viridiplantae; Streptophyta; Magnoliopsida; Malvales; Malvaceae
Description: long non-coding RNA (GBAR_LNC002954)
Source: RNAcentral
UUUGAGCAUGUGCACAGGUCAAGACCUAAGAAGUAUCUUAGAUAUACAUUUGUUAGCAUGCUUAUUCGCAUAGAAACAUACAUUGCAUCCAUGCAUCUAAAAGACAUAUAUCGUAUACUAAAACAGCUCAACUAAAGAAAAGAACAAGACCUCAUCAAUGAAUAGAACUCCUGGUACAAGCUCUGCAACACCUUCAUCAAUAUACCGGUUAACUACCUGUCACAAACAACAUUAUUUCAAUUAAAAGGCAUGCCAUCUUUCUAAGAAACAAUUGUGCAUAGCAGUUGAAGUCAAUCCCACAUCAUAAGCCUGUUUCCAAAUUGGACAGGAAGUCCAUCUGACUCUAAAAGUUUAACCGUGUACUAUAUUGUUAGCUUCUAGGGAGCUGAUCAUAACAGGAUUCAUACUAAUAGUAGGAUUAAACCAGAGAUUAGCUGAUAAGACUUCGGCUCUUAAACAGAAGAUUCCAAGUAAUACUAUUAAUGUAUUGGUGAGAGAAAUCACAGCAAUGGUAAAACAAUACUGCCUAUUGUCCAUAAAAAUCGUCAUAAAAUGGACCUCAAAUAAACUAAUAUAGUAUGCAUAUGAUAGUUACACUUGAGUCUAAAUAGCAUAGCUUCUUAAUUGUCCAUUCAGCAUUGCUGUGUGCUUUUCUGCGUUUAUAUUACUAGAAAGUUUGAACCGUUUGUUAGCAUUUAUAUGCAGGUAUGUUGUUUCUGUUCUUGGUUAUUAUGCCAUCCUUACUAUUUAUGCUCUGGUUUCUAGCUGUCAGUUGCACUUUGUGGUUUUACUACUUCAAAACACAAGAUCUUCUAGAAAUCUUCUUAAAAAAAUCAAUAAGCUAAUGAUACUCCAAGUGGGCAUCAAUAAGUUUAGGAACUCAAUCAUAUGCUUCAUCUUUCAGUCUGUCAUUCAGUUGUCUGGUACAUGAUGUUUAGCUAUAUUAUUGUGAAUCUAUGGAUUCUUUUUGAGCCUUUAAUUCUUAGAACUUAUGAAAAUAUCCGAAUACAUAAAGCAAUUUUUGUUUUUUUCUUACAUCUGUUCUAGGUACUGUCCAGCAUCUAAAUUAAUAGUUGUUGCAAAUAAAUACACCACAGCUAUUGACAUCUGUUCUAGGUACAUGUUUCGUUUCUUAAUUACUUAACUUAUUUCUAUGCAUUUUUCCUUUAAAUUACUUAACAAAUACUAUUUUUCUGACUCCAGCCUCUGUUUCCUGGUGAGAGUGAAGUAGACCAGCUUGUUGAAAUUAUUAAGGUACGUUUUAGUUCAAAAUUCGCAUAAAUAAUAGUUUCAUCAUGAUGAUUUUGAAAAAAAAUCAUUUUACUUAGAUAUAUGAUUUGGUAUGAAGUAAUGAUAAGUAUGGUUUAUAAUUAGCUCAUCUUGGUAAGAUUGUUAAUUGGUAUGAUAUGCAUUUGUGGUUGUUAUUUUUCUGACUCAAGUGAAUUAAGUAUGGUUGUUGGAUGUGUUUUGGGUAUGGUUUAUUAUUGAAUUACAUUUUGACUGUAAUUUGUUUAUUCAUUAGUUUCGGAAAUGGCAGUGAUGAGAUGUUAUAUUUGGUUGAUGAUAGAUAAAUAAAUACAUAUGUACUUAUGUCAUGAAUUUUGGUGAUUUGGGAUGUAAAUGUCAAAUUGUUAUAUAUAUAUGUUAUUGUAUGUUCAGCUAUGAUAUUUGACUAUUUAUGUUUGGUUUACGAUGGCAAGAAUGAAUAUGUUUUAACUGUUAUAUUGAAGUCAUAUUAAAUGACCGAAUAUAUAUAAAUUGAUUUACUUGUGUAUAUGAAAUUUCAGCAUGAUUUAUAGCAUAUGAAAUUGACAUGUUUUAAUUUGGCUAAAUGACAUGAAAAAUGAUUAAUGUUAGUCAAGUGAGCAAUGUAUGAAUUGGUUAUGUUGCAAGUGAAAUUUGCUUAUUUAGAUAUGCUUGUAUGUGUUUGUACAAUUUUGCUUACUUAACCAUGAGGUAUAGUUCAACUUACAGUAAUAUGCGCAUGUGGGAUAUCCUUUAUGGGAUAGAAAAACAAGCACACCCUUUAUUUCAUAACAUUAAUCAAAUGUAUGAAUUGCAGCCCUUUAAAUGUAUGAAUUGCAGCCCUUUAAAUAAACUUGAACCAGGCCUGAUUCUUGUAGCUUAAUUAUUAUUUGAAGUAUGAAUAAGUUUUUAUAUUUGGUUCAACUUAAUUAUUAUUUGAUUCAACUUAAGUAUGAAUAAGUAUGAAUUAAUUUUAUUACCAUGUAGAUUGCUUGUCCAUUAAAUUUACAACAAUAGCUGACCUUCUUUCCAACCUUAUUUUAAAUAUUUUAAAGAUUCAAAGUAUAUAGGCUGGAAACCUGACGGGUUGCCUUAUAUCGAGCUGUAAGAUAUAAUGGAUCCUCCCUAGGUGUAACAACGCCACGUAUGAUGAAUCUUAAAAAAUUCAAGAAGACUUGAAAAAAGUUCUAUCGAGCUCAUUUACUAUUGAAUAUUUAUUACCAUAUGUAGCUUGCUUGUCCAUUAAAAUUACAACAAUAGCUGACCUUCUCUCCAACCUUAUUUUAAAUAUUUUAAAGAUUCAAAGUAUAUAGGCUGGAAACCUGACGGGUUACCUUAUAUCGAGCUGUAAGAUAUAAUGGAUCCUCCCUAGGUGUAACAACGCCACGUAUGAUGAAUCUUAAAAAAUGACUAUAUUCAAAUUACUAUUUUUUUAUAUUAAUAAUGUUUGAUUUUAAUAUUUAAUAAUUUUAAAUGUCUUUAAAAGUUAUAACUAAUUUUUAUCAAAAUAGUAUUAAUAUUGAUCAUUACUUAAAUAAAUUACAUAACUUACAUAACUCAUAUAACUUACAUAAUUUACAUAACCACUUACAUAACUCACAUAACUUACAUAAUUUACAUAACUCACAUAACGUACAUAACAACUUACAUAACUUAACUAAUACAUGUAGUGUAAUCUAAUAAUUUCCUUAAAAGCAUAUAGUUUAAAGUUUAAAUUUCAUAACUUACAUAAUCUACAUAACUUACAUAAAACAUAAAGAUAUAUCAUAUCAAGACUUACAUAAUAAAUAGCUUACCUGUGUAAUUUAUUGUCAACUUUAGAAUUCAAGAACUACGAAAUGGAUAGGAGUUGGAUGAAAUUGUCAAGGGUAAGCAACGCCUAUCGAAAUGGAGUACAAACUUUUAUGAAUUUUGCAUUUCAAAAUGCAAGCCAAGAGAAUAUGAUUCUUUGCCCGUGUAAGAAGUGUGGCAACAUCAAUUGGCAUACUCGUGAAGUUGUCUACGAACAUCUAAUUGUUGAUGGCUUUAUUCGGGGGUAUAAAAAAUGGAUUUUCCAUGGAGAGUGUACAUCUAGUGGAACUUCUUCAAAGAUUAAUCCGACUUAUCCUGAUACUGAUUACCAUCAGUAUGUUAGACAAGAUGACAUGGAAGGUAUGUUGCGGGAUGCAUUUAAUAUGCACAGUCAUGGUGAGCAAUCGUUUCCACCUAACUUUAUUGCAUCCGAUGAUUGUAAUAUUGGUGGAAAUGUUUUUGGCGAAACGGGAACAAGUGCACCUUAUGAGGAGCCAAAUGAAGAAGCGGCGAAGUUCUACAAUUUACUUAAUGAAAUGAACGAAGAACUUUACGAGGGAUCAAAAUAUUCGAAAUUGUCCUUCUGCAUUCAUUUAUUUCACUUAAAAUGUUUGGGAGGGUGGACUGGAAAUUCUUUUACAAUGCUGCUACAGUUUUUGAGAGAGAUGUUUCCUUUUGCAAAAAUCCCCGAAUCUUGUCAAGAUAUGAAGAGGCUAAUAAAAGAUUUGGGCCUUGGGUACGAUAAAAUUCAUAGUUGCCCAAAUGACUGCAUGUUGUACUGGGGUGAUCAGAAGAACCAACAGUGUUGUAAUGUUUGCGGCAAGUCUCGUUGGAUAAAUGGGAAUACAGAAGAUGUGAAUACAGAUUAAGGUGGGGCACAGUUAAGAAAGAAGCCAGUCAAGGUUUUGCGAUACUUUCCCCUAAUACCAAGACUUCAAAGGCUUUUCAUGUCGUCAAAGACGGCCGAAUCUAUGAGGUGGCAUAAUGAUCAACGGACCGAUGAUGGAUUAUUAAGACAUCCUGCGGAUUCUUUAGCUUGGAAAUCAUUUGACUUGAAAUUUUCAAGCUUUGCAAGCGAUCCUCGAAAUGUGAGGCUUGGGCUAGCAACUGACGGCUUUAAUCCAUUUAAAAUCAUGAGUACUUCGUACAGUACUUGGCCUGUGGUGCUUGUUCCUUACAAUUUGCCUCCAUGGAUUUGCAUGAAGCAAUCUUCGUAUAUUUUAUCAAUGAUUAUUCCUGGAGAGAAAGGUCCCGAAAAUGAUAUUGACAUCUAUUUGCAGCCACUUAUUGAAGAGUUAAAACAAUUAUGGUCGGGUGUUGAGACAUAUGAUGUAUUAAGAAAAGAUAACUUUUAUUUACGUGCAGCUUUAUUGUGGACAAUUAAUGAUUUCCCGGCUUAUGCUAAUUUAUCGGGUUGGAGUACUAAAGGACGUUAUGCUUGUCCUUGUUGUACUGCGCAAACUUGUUCGAAGUGGUUGUACAAUGGGAAGAAGUUCUCUUACAUGGGCCAUCGUCGGUGGUUAGAUGGAAAUCAUAAAUUUAGAUUUCAGAGGACUCUAUUUGACGGUACUGAAGAGUACAGAGGAGCUCCUCAGCAGACCGUUGGAUCUGAAAUCUUGUUUAUGUUAAAAGAUAUCAACUUUAGUUAUGGGAAGAUGAAUCAAUCACCUAACACGAGAUCAAAGAGAAUAUCGAGGGAUGAAUCUGAUGAUGAAUCUGACGAAGAGGAUGAUCCUAAUGAGGCAGACUUGUGGAAAAAAAGAAGUAUUUUUUUUGAGUUACCUUAUUGGGAGCAUAAUAUUUUACGUCACAAUCUUGAUGUCAUGCAUAUUGAGAAGAAUGUCUGUGAGAACAUAAUUGGGACAAUUUUGAAUGUCGAUGGAAAAUCAAAAGACAAUCUUCAGAGUCGACUUGAUUUAGUUGACAUGAGAAUUCAGCGUGAUCUUCAUCCUCAAGUACUUCCGAAUGGGAAAUAUCAGUUGCCGCCUUCUAUUUUUUCAAUGUCAAAUGAAGAGAAAGAGGUGUUUUGUAUGGUGUUGAAGGAUAUAAAGGUCCCAGAUGCGUAUGCGUCAAAUAUAUCUCGAUGUGUGAGUCUUAAAGAUCGAAGAUUAUAUUCAUUAAAAUCACAUGAUUACCACAUCUUGAUGCAAGAUUUACUCCCAGUUGCUUUACGGUGCUGCAUGUCAAAAAAUGUGACGUCCUGUAUAAUUGAACUAUCCAAUAUAAUGAAAGCUAUUUUGUGGCAAAGUUUUGGAUGUUGAAGAACUUAAGAAAGUACAGGAUCGAGCUGCUUUGACUUUAUGCAAAUUGGAGAAGAUCUUUCCACCUUUCUUCUUCACUAUUAUGGUGCACUUGGUAAUCCAUCUCCCUCACGAAGCAAUACUUGGUGGACCGGUUUUUUAUCGAUGGAUGUAUCCAAUAGAAAGGUGCUAAUUUAUUUGUCAAGUAUUUAUUUAUUCGCGUCUAUACAUUUAGUUAUAACUUUUGAUAAAUAUUGUAUAUCGUGUUUAGGUUCCUAAGCAAAUUGAAAUCAUAUUGUCGCAAUAAGCGUUAUCCAGAAGGAUCAAUUGCUGAAGGCUACUUGGCAGAGGAGUGCAUGACAUUCUGUUCUAGAUAUUUAAAAGAUGUUGAAACACGAUUGAAUAGACCAAAUAGAAAUGCUGGGCUCAAUGAUCAUAACUUGGCCGAAACUUAUUUAUUCCAAAGUUAUGGAGAACCAAUCGGCAAAGUUGAAAUUGCAGAAUUAGAUGAUAUAUCAUGGAUACAAGCACAUCGAUAUGUACCUUUUCACCACGAUUUAGUUGAACCGUUACGCAAGUAAGUUCUAAAAUUUCCUCACAUAUUUGUCGUUUUGAUUUGUUUAUCUUCUAACCAAAUACACUUGUUUUUAACAUAGUGAAUACAAACAAAUUUUGAGAUCUCGUGCACGCUCUCGAAGAUUGCAACAUCGAGAGAUUAAUAAGUUAUUCACAGAAUCUUUUCAUGAAUGGUUAAGUCAAACGGUAUGUAACUAAAGUUAAUAAGUUACAUAUAAUCCCGAAAUUUAGUUAAUUAUUCAAUUUACUUUCGAUUCAAUAGGUUUGGAGUGGAAAGGACGUCAAUGACGAAGUUAAAUGGCUUUCCCAAGGUCCGAAGAAUAAUAAAAAGAUAUAGUGCCUUCCUCAUCAAUGGAUACAGAUUUCAUACAAAGUAUCAUGAGAGAAUGAGGAGAACUCAAAAUUGUGGAGUUGUUGUUAAUUCUUCAAUUACAAGUUAUGCUAGUGUUAGGGACAGUAAUCCGGUUGAGGGUAAUGUGGAGUAUUACGGACUUAUUACCGACAUUAUUGAGUUGGAUUACUAUGGCAGAUGGAAAGUUGUCUUAUUUCGGUGUGAUUGGGCUAAUGUUAAUACUGCUCGAGGAAUUAAAGAAGAUCAAUUUGGUUUUACAAUGUUGAAUUUCUCUCGCUUGAUUCACACUGGACAACAAUUGAUGGACGAGCCAUAUGUAUUUUCCUCUCAAGUGAAACAAGUUUUUUAUUCGAAAGAUCCAACUGAUGAGGGUUGGUAUGUUGUACUCCGGAACACCCCUAGAGACUUGUUUGAAAUGGGUAAUGGAAGUAGAGAUGACAUCGUCGAAAGAUCAGAAACAUUACCUUUUCCAGAACAAAACUUAGAUGAAAAUAUCCCUAGUAAUAAUACACAACAUCAAUGGGUUUGACAUGAUGUGGAUGAAGAUAUUUACGAAUAAUGAUGUAGUAAGAUUUUACAAUUUUUUAAUUAUAUGUAAUAUUAUAAUUUUAAUCUUUGUCAUGUUAUAUAAUUUAACUAUUUUAUUUGUACUACUAUUGUUGUAAUUUUUUACUAAAACUUUAAUUAUUUUAUGUGUAUUGCAGGAAAAAUGCGUAGAAGAAGAGUACGAGAUUUAAGUAUUGUCCAGAAUACUCCAAAUUCGGAAAAAAGAAAUAGUGAACAGCAGACAGUUGUUGGAUCUUCGAAUGUGCCGGAGACAUUUGAUGAGCCUGAAGAAUUUCAAAGUAAUAUUAUGUUCAUUUUACAUGUGUUGACUUUUAUUAUUGAAUUAUUUGUCAAUUUAAAUAUAAUAAUAGUAUAUCAUUUUUCAGCUGAAAGUGGUGGGACGCGCAGAGUUCGAGGACGUACGCUACUUAGAGAUUUAUACGACUUAGAUCCUGUCGAGCGUGUUAAAGUAAGUAGAAAUACUCAUGGUCAGCCUGUUGGAUCUGAAGCUCGACUUUUAGCAGGCUAUUUGGGCAUUUUAGCACGAAAUGCAAAUAUGUUGCCCAUCAACUACGAAUCAUGGCAUCACAUGCCUGAUAGCAACAAAAACCAGGCUCUCGCUAAUAUUAAGGUAACAAAAUGUGAAUGCAAUUUAUAAUACUUUGGUUUAAGUUUCAUUUAUAUUUACAUUCUAAACUUAUGUUUUUUUAGGAGAGAUUUGCUUUAGAAGUCUCCGAUGAUUAUAUCAAGAAGGCAUUAGGUAAAAGAUGGAGAGACAAUAAAAGCACUUUAAAGAAACAAUAUUUUAAGAAAGACAUAAGCCUCGAGGAAAAACUGAGAAAUGUUCCGCCAGGAAUGCUGAGGUAUCAAUGGGAAGAUGCGGUUAGAUUUUGGAAUUCAAAGAAAGGAGAGGUAUUGCGUAUUUCCAAACUCUUAUAUAUAGUGUUUACUAUAUACGUAAUAAUAAUUUUAUUAUGUAGGACCGUGAGCGAGUUGGAACAAGCAGCAGGCAAAAACAAAAAUUCACGCACACGGCAGGGUCGAGAAGUUUUGCUUCUGUAGCUGAGGCCGAGGUAUUAUGAAUUUAUUAAUUCUUUCAAAUAUUAAUAACUUUCUAUUAUUAAAUAAUAUUCUUACUACUAUAUUGUAGGAAGUCAAAUCCGGACAAAAAGUUGGAUGCCUUCAGCUUUUUGAGAUUACGCAUAGGAAGAAAGAUGGAUCUCUUAUGACAUCCGAAGCUGGAGAAAUUAUGGUAUAUUCACUUAAUAAUAUUUGAUUUAUUCUAAAUAUUUAUAAUCUUUAAUUAUAAUUGUUUAAUUCAAUUCAUCAUUAGUAGUUUUAAAAAAUGUUAAGUUAUGUUGCAUUUCUUUUUAUUAUAUAUUUCAUUUCUAACUCUUUAAUUGAUUUUUUAGGAGAAACUAAAGGAGAAGAAGGCGGAAUAUGAAGCGAUUGCUUCGAGUGAUAGUUCUGUUAAUCUUGAGAACAUUGAUAACAGAAUUAUCACUGAAGUUUUGGGUCCUGAAAGGUACGGUCGGGUUCGAUUUCAAGGAUCUGGUGUUACCCUGACCCAAUAUUUUGGAUCCGGCUCCCAGCAAUACAUGCCUUCUAGAAGUCAAGCUCAAGCUGAAGUUCAGAGGUUAAGAGACCAGAUAGCUCAGAUGCAAGCGAACACAGUUGAGCAAAUUGCCGAGGUUCAACGAAAAUAUGAAGAAUUCCAGCAACAACUUAGAGCGGAGGCAGCAGAGAGGGAGGCAGCGGCUGUAGCGAGAGAGGCAGAGGCACGAGCGAUGGUAGCAGAACAGAGCAAAAAGUACGAUGACCUCCAGCUACAGCUUUAGCAGAUGAUGCAUAUGUUUCAACAAUUGCAAAAGUCACCGUCUUAGACAUUAGUUUUCUCAUUGUAAGAAUGUUUUUAAGUUUUGUCACGUUUAACAUUAUUGUAAAAAUAUUUUAAAUUAUACUUUAUUUAUUAAUUAUAUCAUAUAUCUUUAGUUAAAUUUGAAGUAUCAUUUAGAAUUAAUGUUUUUGGUUGUAUUUUUUAUAUAAAAUUUCCUGUUUUUGGCUGCAUUUUAUAUUAUAUUUGUUAUAUUUGGUUGGAUUUUAAUGCAGGAAGGGCUGGAUAUUGGUGAAAAAAAAUAUUACAAAUCUGCCAAAUUUAGCGGCGUUUGUGGGAAAAGCGCCGCUAAAAGCCUUGACCUUUAGCGGCGCUUUUCCCACAAAUGCAGCUAAAAGACUUGACCUUUAGCGGCGCUUUACCCACAAACGCCGCUAAAAACCUUGACCUUUAGCGGCGCUUUCCCACAAACGCCGCUAAAAACCUUGACCUUUUGCGGUGCUUUUCCCACAACCGCCGUUAAAAGACUUGACCUUUAGCGGCGCUUUUCCCACAAACGUCGCGAAAAGCCUUGACCUUUAGCGGCGCUUUUUUCCAAUAAAUGCCACAAAUUUUUGUGGCGUUACCUAUAGCAGCGUUUUUUGCGGCGUUUUAGAAAGCGCCGCUAAAAGUUUUAGUGGCGCCUAAAAGUGCCGCUAAAGGCUAAAAAAAGCGCCGCUAAAAGUCUAUUUUCCUGUAGUGAAUGUAUUUAUAUUAGGUAACUUGUGUCGGUAUUUAUCAUUGUCUAUAUUAUAUUUACAUGAAAUGUUAAAAUAUGUAUCAUGUAGUUUAUAUUAUUUAGUAUUGAUAUCUUGUAAUAUGCUAAAUGCAUCAUUGUUUUAAAAUUUUUUAUAUUUUAUUUAAUCCAAAAGAAAUUUAAAAGUAAGGCAAUGUCUUUUGUAUUUAGGAAUUCGGGAAGUAGUGCCCUAACAUGCUGGGUUGCGAUUUCCCGUUUGUCUAAAUGCCUAAAGUAUCCUUUUAAAUAGACUUUGUAAAUCAUGAGAUGAUUUCAGUUAUGAAAGUUUAAGAAUAUCGUGUCCAAUCAUGCUGGAUGUGAUGUUUGUACUCUUUUUGUAGCGAAGGAAUCUCGAUUUUCAACUCAAAUUAUUCCGGUUUAAAAAAGGAUCUUACUUUUAAAUUCUUUCAAACUUUUGACAUCAAGACAGAAAAUUAUUAAAUUUGGUACCAAUUUUGGGUGUUGCGAGGGUGCUAAUCCUUCCUCGUCCGUAAUCGACUCCCGAACUUGUUUUCUCAUAUUUUUGUAGACCAAAAUGUUUUAUAAGGUGAUCCAAUCACACCUAAAAAGGUUGGUGGCGACUCCCGUUUUCAAAAGUCCCCCUUUUAAAAAAAGGUUUCGACAUCUUGGCGACUCCGCUGGGGAAGAAUAAGAGAGUCAAGCCAAGAAAUUGAUUAUUUUCUGUUUUAAUGUCAGAAGUUUGGAAAAUUUUAAAAAUAUUGAUCUUUUUGCAUGUGUUUUCUCCAUAUGUUUGUUAUUUUGUUUCCGCACACAUUGCAUUUACAUGACCGCUGUGGUUGCACCCUUAAGUGGGAGUGAGAAGCUACGCUUUCGUGAGGUUUUCACCUCCGCAUGAGCUAGUGGAUUGCUUCUGGGAUACAUCCGUACCUAUGUCUUCGUGAGGUUUUCAUCUCCGCAUGGCCAUAGGGAACACUACAGGAAAAUAGGGCUUUAGCGGCGUUUUUAGUGGCGUUUUAUUAAAAAACGCUGCCAAAAUUUUAAAAUUCAGAGCAAUAGCGGCGUUCCAAAAAAAACACCGGUAAAAACAGAACAACAGCGGCAUUUUUUACUAAAAAUAGAGCAUUAGCGGCGCUUUAGGGAAAACGCCGCUAAAAACCAGGGCAUUAGCGGCGCUUUAGGGAAAACGCUGCUAAAAACCAGGGCAUUAGCGACGCUUUAGGGAAAACGCCGCUAAAAACCCCACAACCCCUAAACUCAAAAAAAGAAUCAUAAACACUAAUCUCUAACCUCUAAAACAAAAAAUUAUUAAAAUUUAUGAUUAUACAAUAUAUUAAAUAUUUUCUUAUAUAAUCAUAAAAGAGAUAGUAUUGAAUUUAAAAUAUUGAAUUAAUUAUCAUUAUAGUUUAAGGUUUAUGGUUUAAGAUAUAUGGUUUAAGAUGGUUUAAUUAUGAUCGUUAACUAUGGUUUAAGGUUUAGGAGUUAACUAGUAUUUGAAGGUUUAUGAUGAAUUCGGGGUUUAUGGAUUAUGAUUUAGGGUUUAAAGGUUAGGGUUAAAGUUUAGAUUAAUGGGACAAUUAUUAACUUCUUAAGAGAUAAUUUCCUUUCCAGAUUCUUACUUGGAAUGCUAUUAAGAAAGGGUGAUUUUGAAUGUGGAAUUAGCAUUUGUUGAACUAUGUAUAAAUUCCAAGCUUAUAUAACAUAGAAAUAUCUUACGGAGUGGACAUUAUAACUAGAGUGUUCCAAUAGAUCUAGAGAAUUAAUUGUUUUAUUAAAGUUAUGUAACUUUGUAUAAAUAAUAAUGCUAUUGUGUAUUUUUAAUUAUCUAUUUUUUCGUUUAAAUAUAUUUAGAUUAAAUAGAAUGUCUGAAAUAAAAUAUGUUAAAAAUUAAGUUUAGGUUAAGGGUUUAAGGAAAUGAUACUAUUAGUUUAACUGAAGAACAUUUGGAUUUUACUAAGAUUCAUGUUAUUUUGUAUAUACGUACUCAUAAUAUUAUUUAAUAUAAGAAUAUAAACAUAUAUAUAUGUGUGUUUUAAUUUGUACUACACUAACAUUGGCCACACGAAUUCCCAAAAAUAUGUUUAUUAUGGUUUAGGGUUAACAGUUUUUUAGAGUAUACUUUAUAGUUUGGGCUUUAUGGUCUAGGAGUUAUGGUUGGUUUAGGGGUUAUGAAUUGUUUUGGGGUUUAAAGUUUGGGGUAAGGGGUUUUUUGUUUGUGGUCUAAGGUUUAAGGUUUAGAGUAUCAGGUUUAGGGUUUUAAAUUUAGAGUAUAAUUUUGGAUUUUAAUUUAGAAGAUAAAUGUAUAUAAGAUAAAUAUAUAUAAAAUAUUAUUUUAAAAUAUAUAUAAAUAUAUAUAUGAAAAGUGGUUUAGUGUGCAAUUGUGUACAUGAACUGUAAUUUGAUCUAGAUCUUGUAAAAUAUUUACACGUUAUUGAUAUAAUAAACAGCAUCAUGUUUUUAUUUAAUUAAUUAAUUUAUAUGCAUACAUAAUAUGUAUUUUAAAAUGUGUAUUAAAUCAAAAUUAAAGUUUCAACUAUAGUUAGGGUUUUAGGGUUUAUAUAUAAUUUAAAAGAAAUUCUAAAUAUAUAGUUUUAAAUUUUGAUCAAUUUCUAUAAAAUAUUCAGGUAUUAGCGGCGUUUAUACAUAAAACGCCGCAAAAGAUAGAAAAUAGCGGCUUUUUUUUAGAAAACGCCACAAAAUUUCAUUAUACAUUAGAGUAAAACGGCAUCGUUUCCUCUGAAUAGUAGUGGCUUUAGCGGCGUUUCUAUAAUAAACGCCACAACGCGUAUUAGAACGGCGUCGUUUUAUAGUGUAGAUAAAAUAGGUGUUAUUGGCGCUUUGUUGAAAACGCCGCAAAAGGUCUUAUUAGCGGCGCGUUGCUGAAAACGCCACAAAUUUUUCUUAUUUGAAACGGCGUCGUUUUUUCUCUCCUGAGGUUUAUGCUCUUUACCCGAAAUCAGUUUCAUUUUUUUUCUAAGUCAUUUUCCCCCAUCUCGUCUUCCUUCCCCAAAUCCCUAAAACAAACACCUUUUUUUUUCCCCAAAUCAUCCCCUAAUUCCCCCAUUCCCGAAAUCCCUUACUAUUUUCCCUUUCCUCUCGUCGACGGUCAGAUGCUUCAUGGGAAGAUAAUGGUUAGUUUUUUAGUCCCCUUUAGAUUAAUGUGUAGUUACUGUAUUACUUGGCUUUUAUUUUUUUUUUGGAAUUAAGAUUAAAUGACUGAACUUGCUAUUUUGAACAACCACUUCCUUUCUUGAUAUGUAGUGUAUGCUGGAAUUUUAUUACGUCUUCUUCUCUUGUAGACUUUUCUGUCAUUCGUGUAAUUAAAUGUUAUUCAUGGAGAACUUGCAACUCGUUUUUAGCACAUUACCUCUGCUCUAAUUUGUUCAGUUGCUAUAGCAGUCUGGGAGUGAUUAUGCUCUGGCCAUGUUGCUUUGGCUUUUAAUUAUAUCCUCCAAUGGCAGCACUGGAAAACUUUUCCUUUAUUUCCAAAAAUGUUGACCCACCACGGAUCUGCUGCUUUUUCUUGACCCUUUCAAAAUCCAUUCCAUUCAAUUCAAUUCCUUCCAAUUCUUUGUAAGUUUUUUAAUCGUUACAUUCGAUUUUUUCUGAGAGAUCUUCACAAAGUUUCAAGCUUCUUAAGCAUUUCUUUGAUCUAGAAUGGAUAGUAAUUAUUCAGCUAUACCCAAAGGCUCAUUUGUAGAAUUACAAAUGCAUAAUGAACACCACGACUUUAGAUCCCAACAAAAAUCGCUCCUCUCUGAUGAUGGGAACCGGGUAAAUCAUCCCAAGGUUAUUGCUGAUUUUGAUUAUCUUAAUGAUGAUGAUGAUGUUGAUACUAAUGUUGAUGUUGAUCUCGAUGAUUAUACCCUUGUUUUAAGUAAACCCAAUACCGGGUCUGGUGUUUCUGGUGCUGUUUUUAACUGAACCACCACAAUUAUUGGUGCUGGAAUCAUGGCUUUACCUGCUACUAUGAAGGUUCUGGGGCUUGUUUUAGGGAUUCUCGAUCAGUGGUUAGGACUGGUUCGGUUCGUAAUGUCUGGGUGAUGUUAUGUCUGGUUUGGUUCAUCAUAUUGGGGUUCUCGAUCAGUGGUUAGGACUGGUUUUGGGGAUCAUAGGAAGUUAUUGGUUUUGGUUGUUAUGGUUAUUUUUCUUGCUCCACUUUGCAUGUUAGAUAGGAUUGAUACAUUGAGCAUGACUUCGGCUGCUUCGGUAGCUCUCGCUGUUGUUUUCGUUGUGGUUUGCUUUGCUGUUGCAUUCAUUAAGCUUAUUGAAGGGAAGAUAGAGGCUCCAAGGAUGAGCCCAGAUUUUGGAUCGAAAAUGGCAAUUUUGGAUUUAGUAGUAGUUAUCCCUAUUAUGACUAAUGCAUAUGUUUGCCAUUUCAAUGUUCAACCUAUAUACAAUGAGCUCGAAGGUGAUGUUUUGACCAAUUUUGAUAGGAAUCUGGGAAUUCAUUUUAGCACUGCUUUGAAUUAUAUUUUCUCUUCAUUUGGUUCUGGUUUUCCCUGUUAUUCACUUUUCUCUACGGCAAACUGUGGAUAACUUGGUGUUUGAGGGAUCAGCUCCUCUCACGGAGAGUAAAAAAAGGUGUUUGGCAUUAACAGUAAUAUUGUUAGUGCUUAUAUAUAUUGGAUCUACUAUGAUCCCAAAUAUAUGGACAGUUUUCAAAUUUAUUGGAGCAACAACAACUUACUGUCUUUUAAUAUGUAUACAAUAUAACUUACUGUCUUUUAAUGGUAUUGAGCUUGGUCUUAUUUCUCCUGUUAAUGUUAUACCAAAUUGCUGGCUGUUUUUUUUAAUCAUUUUAUUUGGUUAUUCCCACCUGUUAUUAUGCAAUAUAAUUAAUAUUAUACCAAUCAUUAAAUGUUGUUUAUUUUUAGAACUCAUUUGAUUGUUUUGUCGACCAGAAACAGACUUUUGUUCUUCAAAUGCAAUGAGUAGGAAAGUCUCUCGACAUUAUUAGAGAUCAAUCCCAAACAUCUCUAAAUAAACCCUCAAGAAAACAUUUCCAUUUCAAUCAAGGUAACAUGUUUUUCCUAACAUUUAUGUUUCUUUUAACAUGUUUUUCCUUUUAUGUUUUCAAUGUUUAAUUAACAUUUAAUUACAUUCCUAAAUUUUCAAUGUUUUUCCUAACAUUUAAUUAACAUUUUAAUUACAUUCCUAAAUUUUUAAGCUUAUUUCAUCCACUCUUUUUUGUGUUUUGUCUCGAUUUGGCUUCCUUCGUUAAGUUUCCUGUAGAAGCUUACUUAUCUUUUAUUUUCAAUAAACAGAUUUAGGUAAUGGAAGAUGUAUGCCUGUGUGUUUGUGUCUCUAUAUAUGUAUGUAUUUGGUACUAGAUGAAAGCUUUAUUCCAGUUUUGAAAUAUAGACCAAGUUUUGCAUACAUUGAUCAAUUUCUGGCUCUUUUCCUUUGAAUACAUGGUUCUCUUGAUACUAAAUACUCAGGUACUUUCUGCAUAUUCUGUGAUUCUUAUUAGAUAAGUUAUAUAUCAACAGUUAUGUUAGUUUCCAUCAAGGCCUCUGUAAACAUAAAGUUGGUAUUCUGGUUAGGAGAAGUUAAUGUUUAUGAGUUUUGUGGAGUAUGAUUCUGCACAUGCAAAGUUGGUUUGUUUCAAUCUGUGCAUUUUCAUGUUUACAUAAUAAUGGUGAUUCCAUUUUGGUUAUUUAGAUGUUCUUUUGGUCUGUUUUCAUGUUUCUAUCCAACUUAUGUGUUUAGUGUGGACUUAGAUUGAUUUAAGAGUUUAUUGCUGUCUUGUUGCUCACGUUUUAUAUAAUAAAAUUGUUAUAUUUUGGUUAUUUAGAUGUUCUUUUGGUCUGUUUUCAUGUUUCUAUCCAACUUAUGUGUUUAGUGUGGACUUAGAUUGAUUUAAGAGUUUAUUGCUGUCUUGUUGCUCACGUUUUAUAUUGCUGAAUUCCUCUAUUCAUUUUCUUUCAGUUAUGUGAAGAAAUUGGCUGUGCUUUGACUGCUUUCUUAUCCAUUUGUUUAUUAUUUUUUAUUGUUUGAAUUGGAAUUGUCCUGGGGUAGUUUUGCAUUUAUUUACCUGGUACUGAAUGUUAAAAACUGCAUUUACUGUUCUGCAUCCUGGAAAGGGACCUUUUGAGUUUUGAGCUUACUGGGCUGUUGUUUGGUUUUUCAAUCUCUACAGUAAAACCAGGUUUAGAUGAAUUUAUAGUUUUAUUGACAUUAUGUUCUAUUUCACCAUUCUUGAAAUUAUGUGAAGAUUCUUUCUAAUUUUCUCCUCGGCUGUCUCUAGAGUCUAGCCUAAUAUUGAUUUUUCCUUUUCAUGCAUUUUGAAUCAAAUAAAAGAAUUUUAGCAUGCAAGAAAAAGACACUUUACUUGCUUGCGAGAGUAAUUUUUCAUGGUCUUUUGGGAACCUACACAUUGGGUUGUUAACCUGUUCAUGUCUAGUUCUGUGUGAAUCAUUUUAUCCUCACAUGUUUCCUGUUGGAUUCUUUUUAGUUUCAUACCCUCCAUACUACCAAAAAGGAAGUGCUCUGUGAGACAAAGUCAAAAGUUUUAAGAAUUUUUUUCAUUAUAAAGUUUUUGUUCACCAAACCUAGAACUUAAUAAAAAUGAUGGUUGUGAAAUUUUAUAAAUAAUGUUCCUGAAAUGUUGGUAAUGAACCAAAAAAGAAGAGAAUUGCCUGCCAUGCUGAAAAUUCUUGUUGAGAGUCAAGAGAACAAGAGGUGGCUGUUGUCCUUAAACGAAAUUGUUAGUAUUGGAGUUUUUUCUUUUGCUUUCUAUCUUUAGAAUAUUGAUAUUAUUUCCUAUGAUGCUCUGAUUCAUGUGUGAGUGGGAAUGAGCAUGCUAGUAUUUGCUUGUACUUAUUCUGAAACCUGUUUUCAGAUGUAGGAUAAUGUGUUCGAUUUGGGCACUUUAGGAAAGUCAAGGUUUAAAGAAACAGCUGACUGGAUUUUCUAAUUGUGUUAUGUGCCUUGUAUUUACAAUUUUUUUGCAGAGAUGGAAGUCAUUUGUAUGCUCAUAAAAGAUUUUGUAUUUUUUUGCAGAAAUGGUUUGAAAAGAUGUGCAGUAUUGCCAGAUUUUGCUGAGGGGUACAGCUUCAUUUACUGCUUCCUGCUCCUCCUGCAAGUAUUGGUUCAACUGAAGCUGCCAUUUAAUCUUCGAAUUAAAAUUUGGUACUGAUAUAGAUAAAGUUUUUAUAUUUUCUUAAACUGAAAUAUAUUUGGUGCUACUCUUAUAAUCUUACAUCUGUUCUAGGUACUAUCGAGCACCUGAAAUAAUAUUUGGUGCAACUAAAUACACCACAGCCAUUGACAUUUGUUCUAGGUACGUACAGGCCGUUUAGUUGCUAAAUUUUUUUCCUUAUUUCUAUGCAUUUUCACUUUAAAUUACUUAACAAAUAUUGACUUUUUGGACUCCAGCCUCUGUUUGUUGGUGAGAGUGGAGUAGACCAGGUACGUUUUAUUAAGGUACGUUUUAAAUAUUUUAAAGAUUCAAAGUAUAUAUAUAGGUUGGAAACCUGAUCUUAUAGUAUUAAUUAUUUGAAGUAUGAAUAAGUAUGAAUUAAUUUUAUUACCAUAUAUGUAGCUUACUUGUCCAUUAUAAUUACAACAAUAGUUGACCUUCUCUCCAACCUUAUUUUAAAUAUUUUAAAGAUUCAAAGUAUAUAGGCUGGAAACCUGACGGGUUGCCUUAUAUCGAGUUGCAAGAUAUAAUGGAUCCUCCCUAGGUGUAACAACGCCACGUAUGAUGAAUCUUAAAAAAUUCAAAAAGAAUUGAAAAAAGUUCUAUCGCUAUUGAAUAUUUAUAUAACUUUAAUUUAUUUCCAGUUUACUUAUAAAAAUUAAACUACGAUUCUUUCUUGAUAUUAUUAUAUUCAAAUUACUAUUUUGUUAUAUUAAACAUGUAUGAUUUUAAUAUUUAUUAUUUUUAAAUGUCUUUAAAAUUUAUAACUAAUUUUUAUCAAAAUAGUAUUAUUAAUUAUUAUUUGAAGUAUGAAUAAGUUUUUAUAUUUUGGUUCAACUUAAGUAUUAUUUGAUUCAACUUAAGUAUGAAUUAAUUUUAUUACCAUAUAUGUAGCUUGCUUGUCCAUUCCUUAUUUUAAAUAUUUUAAAGAUUCAAAGUAUAUAGGCUGGAAACCUGACGGGUUGCCUUAUAUCGAGCUGCAAGAUAUAAUGGAUCCUCCGUAGGUGUAACAACGCCACGUAUGAUGAAUCUUAAAAAAUUCAAAAAGAAUUGAAAAAAGUUCUAUCGCUAUUGAAUAUUUAUAUAACCUUAAUUUAUUUCUAGUUUACUUAUAAAAAUUAAACUACGAUUCUUUCUUGAUAUUAUUAUAUUCAAAUUACUAUUUUGUUAUAUUAAACAUGUAUGAUUUUAAUAUUUAUUAUUUUUAAAUGUCUUUAAAAUUUAUAACUAGUUUUUAUCAAAAUAGUAUUAUUAAUUAUUAUUUGAAGUAUGAAUAAGUUUUUAUAUUUUGGUUCAACUUAAGUAUUAUUUGAUUCAACUUAAGUAUGAAUUAAUUUUAUUACCAUAUAUGUAGCUUGCUUGUCCAUUCCUUAUUUUAAAUAUUUUAAAGAUUCAAAGUAUAUAGGCUGGAAACCUGACGGGUUGCCUUAUAUCGAGCUGCAAGAUAUAAUAGAUCCUCCCUAGGUGUAACAACGCCACGUAUGAUGAAUCUUAAAAAAUUCAAAAAGAAUUGAAAAAAGUUCUAUCGCUAUUGAAUAUUUAUAUAACCUUAAUUUAUUUCCAGUUUACUUAUAAAAAUUAAACUACGAUUCUUUCUUGAUAUUAUUAUAUUCAAAUUACUAUUUUGUUAUAUUAAACAUGUUUGAUUUUAAUAUUGCUAUUAUUUUUAAAUGUCUUUAAAAUUUUGUUAUAUUAAUAAGAUUUCCAAAAAAGUUUUAUGAAGCUUAUAAAUAAUUCUAUUGACCUUAAAAAAGAAUUAAAAAUUUCAACGACUGAAUGGCCAAUUAUAAAUUAUUUUAUCAACAUAACAUUAUUGAUCAUUGUUUAAAUAUAUUAUAACUAAUUUUUGUCAAAAUAGUAUUAAUAUUGAUCAUUACUUAAAUAAAUUACAUAACUCACAUAACGUACAUAACAACUUACAUAACUUAACUAAUACAUGUAGUUUAAUCUAAUAAUUUCCUUAAAAGCAUAUAGUUUAAAAGUUCAAAUUUCAUAACUUACAUAAUCUACAUAACUUACAUAAAACAUAAAUAUAUAUCAUAUCAAGACUUACAUAAUAAACAACUUACCCGUGAAACUUAUUGCCAACUUUAGACUUCAACAACUAUGAAAUGGAUAGGACUUGGAUGAAUUUCUCAAGGGCAAGCAACGAGUAUCAAAAUGGAGUGCAAUCUUUUUUAGAUUUUGCAUUUCACAAUUCAAGCCAAGAGAAUAUGAUUCUUUGCCCGUGUAAGAAGUGUGGCAAUAUCUAUUGGCAUUAUCGUGAAGUUGUCUACGAACAUCUAAUUGUUGAUGGCUUCAUUCGGGGGUAUAAAAAAUGGAAUUUCCAUGGAGAGUACAACUAGUGGAGCCUCUUCGACGAUUAAUCCGGGUUAUCCUUAUAGUGGUUACCAUCAGUAUGUUAGAGAAGAUGACAUGGAAGGUAUGAUGCGGGACGCAUUUAAUAUGCGGAGUGAAAGUUUCCAAUCAUUUCCACCAAACUAUGUUGCAUCUGAUGAUUAUAAUAUCGGUGGGAAUACUUUUAUGGAAACGCGAAGAAGUGUACCGGAUGAACAACCGAAUGAAGAAGCGGCGAAGUUCUACACGUUACUUGGUGAAAUGAAUGAAGAACUUUAUGAGGGAUCAAAAUUUUCGAAAAUGUCAUUCUAUAUUCGCCUUUUCCACUUAAAAUGUUUGGGAGGGUGGACCGAAAACUCUUUGACAAUGCUGUUAGAGCUUUUGAGAGAAAUGUUCCCAUUUGCAAAAAUCCCUCAAUAAUGUAAAGACAUGAAGAAAGUAAUAAAAGAUUUGGGCCUUGGGUACAACAAAAUUCAUAGUUGCCCAAAUGAUUGCAUGCUGUAUUGGGGUGAUCGGAGAAAUCAACAGUCUUGUCAUGUUUGCGGUAAAUCUCGUUGGAUGAAUAGAGAUGCAGAAGAUGUUAAUGAGGAUGAAUAUGGGCCACAGUCAAGAAGGAAGCCGAACAAGAUUUUGCGAUAUUUCCCGCUAAUCCCAAGGCUUCAAAGGCUAUUCAUGUCGUCAAAGACAGUUGAAUUUAUGACGUGGCAUCAUGAUCAACGAACGGAUGAUGGAUUAUUAAGGCAUCCUGCAGAUUCUUUUGCAUGGAAAUCAUUUGACAAUAAAUUUCCAAGCUUUGCAAGUGAUCCUCGGAGUGUAAGGCUCGGGUUAGCAUCUGAUGGAUUUAAUCCUUUUAAAAUCAUGAGCACCUCGUACAGUACUUGGCCUGUGGUCAUUGUUCCUUAUAAUUUGCCUCCAUGGCUCUGCAUGAAGCAAUCUUCUUUGAUAUUAUCUAUGAUUAUCCCCGGAGAGAAAGGCCCCGGAAAUGAUAUUGACAUAUAUCUGCAGCCACUUAUUGAAGAGUUAAAACAAUUAUGGGCGAGUUUUGAGACGUAUGAUGUAUUGAGAAAGGAGAACUUUUACCUACGUGCUGCUUUGAUGUGGACAAUUAAUGAUUUCCAGGCAUAUGCGAAUUUAUCGGGUUAGAGUACCAAAGGAUGUUAUGCUUGUCCUUGUUGUGCUGCUCAAACGUGUUCACAGUGGUUAUAUAAUAGGAAGAAGUUCUGCUAUAUGGGGCAUCGUCGGUGGUUAGAUGAAAAUCAUAGAUAUAGAUUUCAGAAGGCUUUAUUUGACGGUACUGAAGAGUUGAAAAAAGCUCCUGAGCAGACCAUUGGAUCUGAAAUCUUAUUCAUGUUAAAAGAUAUGGAUUUCAGUUACGGGAAACUGAAUCAACCAUCUAAUAGGCAAACAAAUAGACGAUCGAGGGAUGAAUCUGAUGAUGAAUCUGACGAGGAGGAUGACCCUAAUGAGGCGGACUUGUGGAAGAAAAGAAGUAUUUUUUUUGAGUUGCCUUAUUGGGAGCAUCACAUAUUACGCCACAAUCUUGAUGUGAUGCAUAUUGAGAAGAAUGUCUGCGAGAACAUCAUCCGGACAAUUUUGAACGUCGAUGGUAAAUCAAAAGAUAAUCUUCAAAGUCGACUUGAUUUAGUUCACAUGGGAAUUAGGCGUGAUCUUCAUCCCCAAGUACUUCCUAAUGGAAAAUAUUGGUUGCCGCCUACAAUUUUUGCAAUGUCAAAGGAAGAGAGAGAAAUGUUCUGCACGGUGUUGAAGGAUAUAAAGGUUCUGGAUGCGUAUUCAUCAAAUAUAUCUCGAUGUGUAAGUCUUAAAGAUCGAAGACUAUAUUCAUUAAAAUCACAUGACUAUCACAUCUUGAUGCAAGAUCUACUUCCAGUUGCUUUACGGUGCUGUAUGUCAAAGAAGGUAACGUCCUGUAUAAUUGAGCUGUCCAAUAUAAUGAAAGCAAUUUGUGGCAAAGUUCUGAAUGUUGAAGAACUUGAAAAAGUACAAAAUCGAGCCGCUUUGACAUUAUGCAAUUUGGAGAAGAUCUUUCCACCUUCCUUCUUCACUAUUAUGGUGCACCUUGUCAUUCAUCUCCCUCGUGAAGCAAUAAUUGGUGGGCCGGUUUUCUAUCGUUGGAUGUAUCCAAUUGAAAGGUGCUAAUUUAUUUCAAAGGCAUUCACCUUUAUACCUAUAGUUACAAGUUUUGAUAAUAUUGUAUAUGGUGUUUAGGUUCCUAAGCAAAUUGAAGUCUUAUUGCCGUAACAAGCGUUAUCCGGAAGGAUCAAUUGCUGAAGGCUACUUGGCAGAGGAGUGUAUGACAUUCUAUUCUAGAUAUUUAGAUGUUGAAACAAGAUUGAAUAGACCAAGUAGAAAUGCCGGACUCAAUGAUCCUAACUUGGACAAAACUUAUUUAUUUCAAAGUUAUGGAGAACCAAUCGGCAAAGUUGAAAUUGUAGAAUUAGAUGACCGAUCUUGGAUACAAGCACAUAGAUAUGUUCUUUUCCACCACGAUGCACUUGAACAAUUACGCAAGUAAGUUCUAGAAUAUGAUAAAUAUUCUUCUUUUUUUGAUUUGUUUAUUUUUUAACGAAUUAAACAUGUGUUUAACAUAGUGAGUACAAACAAAUCUUAAGAUCUCGUCCACACUCACGAAGAUUACAACAUCGCGAGAUUAAUAGGUUAUUCGCAGAAUCUUUUCAUGAAUGGUUAAGCCAAACGGUAUGCAACUCAACAUUUUGUUGACAAAUAAUAAUGUUUUCUCAUAACAUUUAUAAUUACUCAAUUUACUUUCGAUUCAAUAGGUUUGCAGUGGGAAUAUCAUUAAUGACGAAGUUAAAUGGCUUUCCCAAGGUCCGAAUCUAGUAGUAAAAAGAUAUAGUGGCUUCAUCAUGAAUGGAUUCAGAUUUCAUACCAAAUAUCGCAAGAGAUUGAGGAGAACUCAGAAUUGUGGAGUAGUUGUUAAUUCUUUAAUUACAAGUUACGCUAGUGCUAGGGACAGUAAUCCUGUCGAGGGAAAUGUGGAGUAUUAUGGACUUCUAACCGACAUUAUUGAGUUGGAUUAUUAUGGAAAAUGGAAAGUUGUCUUAUUUCGAUGUGAUUGGGCUGAUGCUAAUACUGCUCGCGGAAUAAAAAUGAUCAGUUUGGUUUUACAAUGGUGAAUUUCUCUCGAUUAAUUCACACUGGAGAACAUUUGAUAGACGAGCCGUAUGUAUUUUCUUCUCAAGUUAAACAAGUUUUUUACUCGAAAGAUCCAAUUGAUGAGGGUUGGUACGUUGUACUCCGAAACACCCCUAGAGACUUUGUUGACAUGGGGAAUGGAAGUAGAGAUGACAUCGGUGAAAGAUCAGAAACUUUGCCUUUUCCAGAACAAGACUUAGAUGAAAAUAUCCCUAGUACUAGUACACAAUUUCAAUGGGUUCGUCAGGAUGUAGACGAAGAUAUUUACGAUUUAUGAUGUAGUAAGAUUUUAUGAUUUUUUAUUUAUAUGUAUUGUUACAAUAUUAACAUUGGUCAUGUUAUCUAAUUUAACUAUUUUAUAUUUACUAUUAUUGUUAUUUCUUACUAAAAUUUUAUCUAUUUUAUGUGUCGCAGGAAAAAUGCCUAGAAGAAGAUUAAGAGAUCUUAGUAUUGUACAGAAUACUAACAAUUCGGAAGAAGUAAGUACUGAACAGCAGACAGUUGUUGGAUCUUCAAGCGUGCCGGAGACACUUGACGAGUCUGUGGAAAUUCAAAGUAAUGUUAUGUUCUAUUUUACAAAUUGUAUUAAAUUUUAUUACUGAUUUAUUUUUAAAUUUCAAUAUAGUAAUAAUUUACCAUUUUUCAGCUGAAAAUGGUGGGACGCGCAGAGGUCGAGGACGUACGCUCCUAACAGAUUUAUAUAACUUAAAUUCUGUCGAGCGUGUCAAAGUAACUAGAAACAGCCAUGGUCAGCCUGUUGGACAAGAAGCUCGACUUUUAGCAGGCUAUUUGGGCAUUAUAGCACGAAAUGCCAAUAUGUUGCCCAUGAACUACGAAUCAUGGCAUAACAUGCCUGAUAGCAAUAAAAAUCAAGCUCUCUCUAAUAUUAAGGUAACAAAACGUUAAUGUAACUAUUAUACUUUUGUUUAAGUUUCAUUUAUAUUUACUUCCUAAACUUGUGUUUUUUAGGAUAGGUUUGCUUUAGAGGUCUCUGAUGCCUAUAUCAAGAAGGCAUUGGGUAAAAAAUGGAGAGACAAUAAAAGCAUUUUGAAAAAAGAAUAUUUUAAAAAACCCAUAAGCCUCGAAGAAAAAUUGUAAAAUGUCCCACAGGGAAUGCUGAGGUACCAAUGGGAAGAUGCGGUUCAAUUUUGGAAUUCGAAGAAAGGAGAGGUAUUAUGUACUUGCAAACUCUUAGAAAUUUUUCGGUUUAUAGUAUUUACUAUAUACGUAAUAAUAAUUUCAUUAUGUAGGACCGUGAGCGAGUUGGAACAAGCAGCAGGCAAAAACAAAAAUUUACGCACACGGCAGGGUCGAAAAGUUUUGCUUGUGUAGCUCAGGCUAAGGUACUAUGGAUUUAUUAAAUCUAUCAAGUAUUAAUAACUUUUUACUAUUAAAUAAUAUUUUUACUACUAUAUUGUAGGAAGCCUCGUCUGGUCAAAAAGUUGGACGCCUUCAACUUUUUGACAUUACACACAGGAAAAAAGAUGGAACUCCGAUGUCAUCUGAGGCUGCAGAAAUUAUGAUAUAUUUAGCAAAUAAAAAUUGAUUCAUUAUAAAUAUUUAUAAUAUUUAAUUAUAAUGUUUUAAUUCGUCGUUUUUAUUAGUGUAAUUUAAAUAAUGUUAUGUUGUAUUCUUUUUUAUUGUAUAUUUCAUUUCUAACUCUUUAACUGAUUUAUUAGGAGAAACUUAAAGAUAAGAAGGCAGAGUAUGAAGCGACUGCUUUGACUGAUAGUUUUGUUAAUUUUGAGGGUAUUGAUAACAGAAUUAUUAAUGAAGUUUUGGGUCCUGAAAGGUAUGGUCGGGUUAGAUUUCAAGGAUCUGGUGUUAACCCGACCCAAUAUUUUGGAUCCACCUCGCACCAAUACAUGCCUUCCGGCAGUCAAAGACAAGCUGAAGUUCAGAGGUUAAAAGAUCAAAUAGUUCAGAUACAAGCUAGCACAGAUGAGAAAAUUUCUCAACUUAGAGCAGAGGCAGCAGCGAGGGAGGCAGAGGUAGCAGCGAAGGAGGUGGAGCAGAAUAGGAAAUACAAUGAACUCCAGCAGCAGCUUCAGUCUAUGAUGACUAUGUUCCACCAAUUUCAAAAUCCGCCAUCAUAGACAUGUUUUCUUGUAACUUUUAACAUUAUUUUAAGAAUAUUUUGGAUAUUCAUUUCCAAUUUAUAUAAUAUAUUUUUCGUAUAAUUUUGUAUUAUUUAAAUUUACGUGUUUUGGUUGGGUUGGAUUUUAUGGUAGAUUUGUUGUUUUUUAUUGAAUUUCUUGCAGGAGGGUUGGAUAUAGGUGUAAAAAUACAUAUUGCAAAACUGAGCAAAUUAGCGGCGUUUUUUAUAAAAGCGCCGCUAAAGUUCUUGGUCUUUAGCGGCAUUUUUUAAAAAAGCACCGCUAAAGGUCCUAGUCUUUGGCGACGCUUUUAUAAAAAACGUCGCUAUAGAACUGUACUUUUAGCGGCGCUUUUAUAAAAAACGUCGCUAUAGGUCCUGGUCUUUGGCGGCGUUUUUUUAAGAGCGCCGCUAAAGGUCAUGGUCUUUAGCGGCGUUUUUAUAAAAAAACGUCGCUAAAGAUCGUGGUCUUUAGAGGCAUUUUUUUCUAAAAAACGCCGUGAACUUUUGUGGCGCUGCAUAUAGCGACGUUUUUUGCGGCGCUUUAGCGGCGCUUAGAAACGCUGCUAAAGGCAAAAAAAACGCCGCUAAAAGUCUGUUUUCCUGUAGUGGAAAUGUGUCCCCCUAAACCGAACCUGGUCCAUAUGAGCCUAUAAUGGGUGAGGAUCGAAAAAUGUGCUGGUUCAAGGACCCUCGCUUUAGAACUGAAACACAUAUAGUGAACUUUAAGUGCUUACCUUAGGGAGUACAAUGAUAGCCUUUAGUAAGCUACCCUUAUAAGUCCUUGUUUAUUAUACCUUUUAUAUAUGAUACUGACCUAUUUUAUUUUGCUAUCAUUGCAUGUCACUCAACAUUUAAAGGUGUCGAUUCACGGUUUGAUUUCUAGAUUAGAAAGUUUUGUAAUAAGGAACGAAUAUCUUGAUAAAGUGGAGGACAAUGCUUCUGUCUGUGCGUGGUCAGAGAAAACCUAGUUAGAGAAAGGAGAUAGUGUCACUGAAGGGUGUACGUCAGAGUUGUGGGACUUCACCCAUAUCAGUUCGACACAGAAUAAGUUUCAGGAGUUGAAGGACAUUUGGGCCCAAUGGGAUGACGAGGCUAAGUAGCUGUUCUACCAGAAUUAUGGAGAUCUUCCCUAUUUGCUAGACAUCAAGGUGGAUAAGCAUCUGUUUCGAGCUAUGGUAUAGUUUUGGAACCCUGCUUAUAAUUGUUUUACAUUUGGAGAGGUAGACUUAGUACCUACUUUGGAGGAGUAUACGACCUUGCUUCGCUGUCCAAAAAUUCAAGGUAACAACGCUUAUGUUAGGGUUGCUAAUCUCCCAACCUUUGUGAAGAAAUUAAUGAUGAUUACAGGGGUGAGAACAGUGGGCCACAGAUCGAAUCCAAGAAAAGGGUGAUAGUAAAUGCAUUCCAUGGGCACGUUUGAGGGAUUUGAUAUUGGCACACCCAGAUGUGAAGAAGAGGGUUGAUGUCUUGGCCUUAAGUAUUUAUGGUUUGGUGAUUUCCCCAAAGCUGUGGGGCACAUAUAUGAAGCAGUUGUGGAUUUAUUUGAUCGACUUAGUAAACAGAACACACCUGUGCCUGCAAUCCUAGCCGAGGCGUUUAGAUCCUUGAGUGCAUGUCGAAGAGCUGGUGAAGGUAGAUUCAUUGGAUAUGCACAAUUAUUGUUAGUAUGGUUCCACAGUCAGUUUUAGAAGGUUGAUAAGGGUCCUUGCCGAGUGUUUUUUGAGGAUUAUUCUCCCUUAAGGGAAGCAGCAGCUAUGCCUAGGAGGGACGACAUUACAGAGGAAAGAUGGAUGGAAAUACUUCAGAAUCUCCAAGAGGAAGAUGUAAUGUGGAAAGCCCCUUGGAUGGCUCCUAAUGAAGUCCUUUAUCGUUGCAGAAGUUUUAAUUGGGUACCUCUUCCUGGAAUUUGGGGAGUUGUUGGUUAUGCACCAUUACUCGUCUUAAGGCAAUACAAAGCGGGGCAGUUUAUACCUGCAACACAAGGGUUAGCUCAGAGUGAUUUCUCAUAUAAAAGGGAUCAUUAUAAGAAAAAGAUGCGAGAGAUUUUCGAGGCUUGGAAGAAGAUUUGCUGUGUGAAGAUUCUGACUGAAGGUCCGACGAUGACUCUUGAGUACAAAGGGUGGUUUAGCAAGAGGAUCAAUGAUAACAUCCCUAGGCCAAGUUUGGGGGCUGCUCAAUCGAUGAAGGAGAGUUUACGAGUAAUUCCAUCAGAGUUAGAAGUCAUAAAGUAAGAGUUCGAAAGGAAGAAUUUGGAGCUUGGGAAAAAGAUAGAGAGGCUUGAGGAGGAGAAGAUAUAUCUAAGCUUAGACGUCGACGUUUAGAAAAUCGAGGUCGAAAAAGUGAGGAAAGAAAAGAAGAAGAUUGAAGAAGACCGAGAUGACUUGAAAACGUAAUAUAAGAGGAUACAACUAUCAAUGAAGAGAGCUGGAUUGGGGAAGUCUCCAGAACAGUGGCGGCAAGAGGUUCAAGAAGAAAGAGCCAAAGCCGCGUAUUGGGAGAAGAAGUUUCAAGAGAUGUAGGCGCAAAAUCAGACCUUAGAGAAAGAGAAUCAAGGAUUAAAAGCUAAGGUGAUUGAGCUUGGACGAUCUCUUCAUCAUCACCGAAGUCGUAACUCUGCGGUCGAAUUAAAGGCAAGUCUGAACAAGAUCGAGGAAAUGAAGCAUAAUAUUAGAGGGUUGGAAGCAGCAUUGCAGAACUGUGAACUUCAGAUUGAGCAGCUCAAGGCAAGAGAAGGACAUUGGAAGGGAGAGCUUCACCAUUUCCAGGAUCAAGUCAGAGAUAGGGACUGUCGAAACCAUUCUUUUGAAAACGGGGAUCGACUUUGUUUGAAAGUGAAAAUUAAAACGGGAGUCGCCAUCGAUCUUUAUUGGGUGUGAUCGGAUCACCCUUGUUUUAAUAAAACAUUUUAGUUUACUAAAACAGGGCCUUUGGUCUACGAAACUUGAGAGGAUGAGUUCGGGAGUCGGUUACGUGCGAGGAAGGAUUAGCACCCUCGACACGCCCAAAAAAAAUUGGUACCGAAUUGAUUAGUUAUUGUCUUAAUGUCGAAAAUUAAAAAUCGGGAAGGGACUUGAAAUACGAUAUUUUCUAUUAAUACUGAUUUUAAAAUUCUUGAAUUAGCUUAAAUCGAUUUGUUUAAAGAUUUCCUUAUCUCGAGAUGUCGGAGUAUCACAUCCCGUAAGUUAGGACGUAAUACCAUGAAUUCCCGAGCACAAGGUCGUCUUUUAAUUUAAAUUGGAAAUCCGUGUAUUUCAAAAUUCAAAAGGAUAUUUAGCUAUUUAAAACCAACGAGAGAACCGAAACCCCGUAAGUUAGGGCACAAUUCUUCGAUGUUCCAAAAUGCGAAACAUUGCCUUAUUUAUUGAAAUUAAUUAAAACAUGAGAAAAAAUAUUCCUAAAGUGAGAAAUUAAAAUAGAUAAACGACGCAAAAAAUGAUAUCAUUAAUGAAAAAUAUUAACAUGGAAUACUAGAAUAUUAGAAUAACAAUAACAAUGAUAUUUACAAAAAAAAGAAAAUAAAAACAAAUCAUGUACUAAUAAUAAAAUAGGAAAAAUGAUAUAUUUGGUAAUAAUAAUAUAAAAUAAUAAUAUGUACAUAAAGAUACAUAUAUAUAUGUGCAUAUAAUAAAAGUAUGUAAUAAUAAUAAUAUCUACAAUAAAAGAAAAUAUUAGGAAACGUACAUAAAAAAUAUAUACAUAAAAAAUUUACAACAAUAAUAUAAAAUAAUGAUAUGUACAAAAAUAUAUAUAUAUAUGUACAUAAAAUAUACACUAAUGUAAUAAUAAUUAUAAUAAUACUAGCAAUAGUAAUAAUUAGUAAUAAUAAUAUAUACACAAUAUGGUAUUUAAAAAAUAUAUAUAUAUGUAUAUACAAUAAUAUUUAAGAAUAUAUACAUAAGAUGAUAUAAAAUACAUACAUGGAAUAGUAUAAGAAAUAUAUAACUAAUUGCAUUAAAAAAAUAUAUACAUAAUAUAUAUAAUACAUAUAAUAUAUAUAUAUACGUAUUAGAAAUGAUAAAAAUUAUUAACACACUACAUAAGUAAAUAAAAUAUAAUAAUAAUACUAAAAUAAUUAAUUUAAAUAGUAAAAUAACUAAAAAGGAUUAAAUUGAACUAAAAACAAAAUAUUUGGGGCAAAAUUGAAAUAAAAAUAAAAGGAAAGGACUAUAUUGAACACGCGUGGAAACAGUGGGGGCCAAAGCAGAAAAUAUUCCUUCCCAUCAAAAGUUAGCACAUCAGCGGGGACUAAAUUGAAAAUCGCGAUAAAUUUCGGGGCCAAAUUAAAAAAACGAAUAAUGACUUAAUUGCAAAGCAAUAAAGAGCGGAAGGGCUAAAAGCGAAUUAGCCCUUCCUUUAAAAAAACACGCGGAUCCUAGGCGGGUCGGGUCGAAUUGGUCCAAGUCAAAACGACGUCGUUUUGGGGGCUAUAAAAAGCCCUUUUUCUUCAAAAAAAUUAAUUCUUGCACUUGAAAAGGAAAAAAAAGAGAGAGGGAGAGGGGUGAGGUGAUUUCUGGCCACAAGACCGGUCCCCAUCCAGUCUCCGGACCGCCGUCAGCCACCGCCGGCCACCGUGGACGGUGGCCGAAAAAGGUAAAAAAAAAUUGUUUUUUUUAAAUAAUAUAUAUAUGUAUAUGUAUAUAAAAAGAAAGAAAGAAAAAAAAAGAUGCAAACCUUUUUAUUAAUUUUCUUUUGUAUUCAAAAUUUGGAGGGAUUUUUGUGUUUGUCUUUUUUUUCAAUCUUCUAAAACCCCCCCUUACAUGAUUUUUGAAUGGCUUUUUAUAGCCAUCUUUUACAUCAUUUUCUAUUAUUUCUUUUUCUAUUUCUUUUGUAGGUGAUAGUGGCAGACAAUCGAUAUCAAAAAUGGGAGGAAAAUGGGGCAAGUGGGAAAGUGGCUAGGUGGCUAGGGUUUCUUCCUUUCUCUUUUUGGUGGAAACUGUUUAGUACUAGUGGGCUAGGUUUAGGGUUUGUGAAUUGGGUAUGUAAUGGACCAUUGGGUUUGGGCUGUUUAACUAUUGGGUUAUUUGUAAAUGGACUGGGCCAAAAUUGGCCUAUAACAGGGAGUAUCUCAUGGGAGAAGCCAUAGUCCAGAUUCGAGAGGUUGCUGAUCAUUUCCAAGACCUGGCAACGCAAGCUAAUGUAUUGAGUGCAAAGUAUGAGUCAGUGUUAGAUAGAGGUCGAGAGUUGGCUUUGUUAUUGGAUAGGGUUAAAACUCUGGGCCUAAGGGCGAAAGCGUAUUUGUAAUUCGUUUUGUGUAAAGAUUUUUGUUUCUUAAAUAACAUUUUCUAAAAGAAACUGAAUCAGAAUCGAUAUCUUUUGCAUUCAUGCAUUUGCAUCUCAUCGCAUCAUAUGCAUUCCAAUUUAUAGAAGGACCCUAAUUAGUUAAAAUUAUAGAGAGAGAGAGAAAGAGAGAGAAAGAGAGUGAGAGAAAAAGAAAACCUGGAAGCAACACAUCCUUACGAUACACGCACUAAGACAAAGAAUAUGGAUCAAAGACUUGAGCAGAUCCAGAAAGAAAUGCAAGAGCAAUUGCAGGAACAAUUGGCAAAAAUCCAACAAGAGAUGAAUGAUCAAAUGUUGGAGGCUCAAAGGAAUAUGAUGGCUAAAAUAGCCCAGCUGCUGAAGGGGGCAAAGGAUAAAGGAAAGGCUCCUAUAACUGAAGAAGAUAAUGAGGAUCAUCCUCCGGGUUUUACUCCAACCCAUGUGCAAACUCAACCUGAGGCAUAUCCCCGAAGGCCGUCCAUUACAAUAAGGCCUCAACAUGGGCAAGUUGAUGCUAGAAUACCCAUGAACUUCCAAACUGGUGCGGGAUCCAACCCGGGAGAUAACCCUACCAAUCCAGUCAUCCCUGAUUUAGAUGUAGCUGAAAGGGAGGAGAUGAGACUCGAAUCAUCAAGGUAAUUAGAGGAAUGUUACAGAUGGUUAGAGGAGAAAUUUAAGGCAUUGGAAAACGCUAAUAAUCGUCAGGGAAUUGAUGCCAAAGACUUGAGUUUGAUCCCAGAUUUGGUGCUUCCUCAUAAGUUCAAGAUGCCGGAAUUUGAAAAGUACAAUGGGACCACUUGCCCUGAGGCCCAUAUCACCAUGUUCUGUAGGCGAAUGACUGGCUAUGUAAACAAUGAUCAAUUAUUGAUCCAUUAUUUUCAGGAUAGUUUGGUUGGGGCAGCGGCUAGGUGGUACAAUCAAUUAAGUCGCACAAGGAUCGGUUCUUGGAGAGACUUAGCGCAAGCCUUUAUGCAGCAAUAUAAUCAUGUGACUGACAUGACUCCUGAUAGAAUCACUUUGCAGAACAUGGAAAAGAAGCCUAAUGAGAGCUUUAGGCAAUAUGCACAGAGGUGGAGGGAGGUUGUCAUGCAAUUUCAACCACCGCUCUUGGAGAAAGAAACUACCAUAUUGUUCAUUAACACCUUGAAGGCCCCAUUCAUUACUCAUAUGAUUGGAAGUACCACCAAGAGCUUUGCUGAUAUAGUUAUGGCAGGAGAAAUGAUUGAGAACGCCAUAAGGGGAGGCAAGAUAGAUGGGGAAUCUGCUAAAAGAUCGGCCCCAAGAAGGAAAGAUAAUGAGGUGAACAAUACGAAUAAUUAUAAUUCGAAAGCGAUUACGGUUAGUCAGCCCAGAGCAACUAUAGUUGGGCAACAGGAUUCCCAAAAGCAGGGAUCUAGUUCGAGACAAAAUUAUGAAAAGGUCUCAUUUACGCCUAUCCCGGUGACAUAUCGGGAGCUUUAUCAAAGUUUAUUUAAUGCGCAUGCAAUAGCUCCUUUUCGUUUGAAACCAUUGCAACCCCCAUAUCCUAAAUGGUAUGAUACAAACACCAAAUGUGAAUACCAUGCAGGGAUAUUGGGGCAUUCAAUCAAAAAUUGCACUAGUUUUAAAAAAACAGUGGAAAGACUAACCAAGAUGGGGGUCGUAAAAUUUGACGACGCCCCUAGUACAAAGAACCCGUUGCCAAACCAUGGUGAUCAAGGGGUAAACGCAAUUGGGGAAACUGGUAUGAGAAGGAUUAAAGAGGACAUGGCCUAGGUAAAAAUGCCGAUGAAAGUAAUCUGGGAAAAAAAUAGUGAAAGAGGAGAUGAUAAUUUCUGAAGAAGGAAAUAAAGGAACAAGGGACUACUGCGAGUUCCAUGCAGAAGAGGGACACGAAAUUUAGGAAUGCAACGAGUUUAAAGCUUUGGUACAAAGCCUUAUGGAUAAUAAGGAGCUGGAAUUUUAUGAAGUUGGCUCAGAUGAGGGACAUGUAUGCACAUUAAAAGGUAAACCAAAGAAUCAAAGAAUCAACCGGCCAAGGAUCAUUAUUUCUAUACCAAGGAAUAAUGAAGUUGAGACACCAACAGCGCCGAAAGUCAUUAUUCACAAACCCGUUUCCUUUCCUUAUAAGGAUAACAAGAGGGUACCUUGGAAUUAUGACUGCAAUGUGACUAUACCGGAGAGAGAAGAUAUAGCUAGUACUUCUAAGGAGGCUCAAGUUGAAGGAUCCUACACAUGUAGUGGGAAGCAUUAUGAUGCAAAAGCAUCAGAAUUGAGCCUACGAAAGUGAAAGCCUUUGACGUUGAGAAGGAGAAUAAGGCUGAGGUACUUGUUAAUGAGCCAGUGAAGGAAGAAGAAGCUAGAGAGUUUCUAAAAUUCCUGAAACACAGUGAGUACAGUGUGGUUGAGCAAUUUCGCAAACAACCAACUCGUAUAUCAGUAUUAGCUUUGCUUCUGAGUUCAGAGGUACAUCGUGAGGGGUUAAUGAAGGUGCUCAACGAGACUUAUGUUAAUAAUGAUAUAUCCGUCAACAAGUUGGAUCGAUUGGUUAGUAACAUAAGUGCUGACAAUUUCAUUUAUUUUAAUGAUGAUGAAAUCCCACCUAGUGACAUGGGAUCAGCUAAGGCUUUGCACAUUACCACUCGCUACAAAGGAUAUACAUUGCCAAGUGUGCUUAUUGAUAAUGGGUCAGCCUUAAAUGUCAUGCCAUUGUCCACAUUGAACAGAUUACCCAUAGAUAGUUCUCACAUGAAAACAUGCCAUAAUGUAGUGAGAGCAUUCGAUGGCAUGGAGAGAAAGGUUAUGGGAAGAAUUGAUAUUCCUUUGAUGAUUGGGCCAAACACGUAUGAGGUGGAAUUUUUAGUGAUGGACAUCAAGCCCUCUUACAAUUGCCUGUUGUGGAGGCCUUGGAUACAUUCGGCAAGAGCCAUGCGCUCAUCGUUGUACCAGAAAUUGAAGUUAGUAGCGGAUGGAAGGCUAAUCACCAUAAAUGCGUAGGAAGACAUCAUAGCAGCAGUUACCAGUGAAGCACCCUAUGUAGAGGCAAACGAGGAGGCCAUUGAAUGCUCUUUUCAUUCCUUAUAAUUCUUUAAUGCAACAUUUAUUUCAGAGGGGAAUGAGGUGCCGGUGCCCAGGAUAUCCAGAACCACAAGAAUGGGUUUGCAGUUGACAAUGGGGAGAGGAGCCUUGCCAAGAAAAGGAUUGGGAAGAUAUCUUCAAGGAGGGAUCCAAGUUCUAGAACUAAAGGAGAAGAGAGAUUGUUUUGGCUUGGGUUUCAGGCCAGAUCACAAGCAUAGGAAGAAGGAAAUAGUUAAGCGUCAACAAAGAAGAAGGGCGCGUUUAAGUGGAAGAGAAGUAGAGUGGGAAUUGAUGACGUUUCCUCAUAUAUCCCAAACCUUUAUAUUAGGAGGGAUAAUUCACCCUGAGAGAGGAUUGCUCAAAAAAGGAAGUUAUCACAUCAAUGCUGUACAUAAUGAAGAGUCUGAACGAAGAAACCUUGAGGGCAUUCGCCCUUACAAAUCGGGAAGCUCUUUAAACAAUUGGACUGUAGAAGAACUUCCUGUAGUUUUUAAAGAUUUUUCAGAGUAAUUUUCAGAACACUCUUUUUGCUCUAGAGCCUAGGAGUAAUAAGAAUUUCAUUUGUAAAAUGGACUCAUGUUUGGAUAUUUGCAUUUCAAUAAAACACGACUUUUGUCAUCAAUCUGAGUAAAUAUUCCUUUAUACCGAUCAAUAUUCUUUUGACCUUUUUAAGUUCUUUCAAAUUUUUCAUUCCAUACAUAACACAUAAAUAAACAUUCUUAAAAUUCAUUCAUUCUUCGUACAUUCUUUCGUACCCCGCAGGUCCCUAGAUAUCAAUGACAUGAGCACUGAUACUACAAAUCCUGAAUUCUCUUGUGAGCAAGACAUGUGUUUAGAAGAACUUAAGGAUUUUGAAGAAUAUAGGGAUUGUGAUGUGUCUCCAGAUCUGUUGAGAAUGGUGAAACAAGAGGAGAAACAAAUCCUACCCUUUGAGAAAGAGGCAAUAGAGAAUGUAGUCUUGGAGGAAGGAAAAGAAGUGAAAAUAGGGACACACAUUGCUAAGGAAACGAGACAAGGUUUUGUUGAGCUGCUACAUGAAUUCGAAGAUAUCUUUGCAUGGUCAUAUCAGGAUAUGCCGGGGUUUAAUACUGAUAUCGUGGUACAUCGUCUCCCCAUAAGACAGGAAUGCAAGCCAGUCCAACAAAAAUUGCGAAGGAUGAGGCCUGAUAUUGUGCUGAAAAUAAAAGAUGAAGUCAAGAAGCAGUUUGAUGCUGGAUUCCUACAAGAGGUUAAGUACUCAGAAUGGGUCGCUAACAUUGUGCCUAUCCCUAAGAAGGAUGGGAAGGUACGAAUGUAUGUUGAUUACAGAGAUUUGAACAAAGCUAGCCCGAAGGACAACUUUCCUUUACCGCACAUCAACACUUUGGUGGACAAUACAGCGGGAUAUUCGUUUUUUUCCUUUAUGGAUGGCUUCUCAGGUUUCAAUCAGAUAAAGAUGCAUCCUAGGGACAUGGAUAAAACCACCUUCAUAACAUUGUGGGGCACCUUUUGUUACAAGGUUUCAGGGGUAACAUAUCAAAGGGCUAUGGUGACCUUAUUCCACGAUAUGAUGCAUAAGGGAUUGAGGUGUAUGUUGAUGACAUGAUUACUAAAUCUCAAACAGAGAGGGAUCAUAUUGAAGUCUUGAGAAAGUUGUUCCUGAGAUUGAGAAAGUUUCAGUUGAAGCUUAAUUCGGCAAACUGCAUCUUCGGAGCUAGGUCGGGGAAGUUAUUGGGCUUUGUGGUCAGCGAAAAGGGAAUAGAAGUUGACUCAAAGAAGGUCAGAGCCAUACGAGAAUUGCCUCCACCACGUACUCAGAAGGAAGUUCAGGGUUUUCUUGGAAGGCUGAAUUAUAUUGCUCAGUUUAUUUCACAAUUAACUGAGAAAUGUGAUCUUAUAUUUCUCCUCCUUAGAAAACACAACCAAGGUACUUGGGAUGAGGAAUGCCAGAAUGCUUUUGAUAAAGUCAAGCAAUACUUGUCAAACGCUCUAGUAUUAUCUCCGCCCAAUCCAGAUAGACCAUUAAUUCGGUACUUAUCAGUGUUUAGUAAUUCUAUGGGAUGUGUGCUUGGUAACAUGAUGAUUCAGGAAGAAAAGAGAAGGCAAUAUAUUACCUCAGCAAGAAAUUCUCAGAGUGUGAGAUAAUAUAUUUGCCAAUUGAGAAGUUGUGUUGUGCUUUAAUCUGGACGACUCGAAGGUUGAGGCAAUAUAUGCUAUAUCAUACAACUUGGAUAAUUUCGAAACUUGAUCCAUUAAAGUACAUGAUGGAGUCAACAGCCCUAAAUGGAAGAAUGGCAAGGUGGCAAGUACUGCUUUCAGAGUUUGAUAUAGUCUAUGUGAGUCAAAAGGCUAUAAAAGGAAGCGCGAUAGCGGAAUUUCUGGCUAGUAGAGCUUUAAAAGAUUAUGAGCCAUUGAGCUUUGAUUUCCCUAAUGAGGAGUUGAUGUAUGUGGCAACUACUGAAGAAUAUCCAUGGAAACUGAACUUUGACGGUGCAUCUAACGCGGUAGGAAAUGGAAUUGGGGCAGUCUUGGUAUCCCCAAAUGGUGAUCAUUAUCCAUUUACAUGUAAAUUGGAUUUUGACUGUGCGAACAAUAUGGCCGAGUAUGAAGCAUGCAUCAUGGGGAUUCGAGAGGCCAAAGAGCAAAAAAUUAGAACCCUGGAAGUAUAUGGAGACUCUGCGUUGGUAAUUUACCAGCUUAGGGGUGAAUGGGAGACAAGGGACCCCAAAUUGAUUAAUUAUCAAAAGGUAGUUUUGGAGUUACUUGAGGAGUUUGAUAACAUCACCUUCAAUUAUCUCCUACAGGACGAAAAUCAGAUGGCAGAUGCUUUAGCAACACUGGCUUCCAUGAUUAAAGCAAAUAAAAAAGAGAUGUGAGACCAAUUCAGAUGAGUAUUUCUGAGGUCCCAGCUCAUUGUUGUAACAUCGAAGAAGACGAAAAGGAGGACCAUCCUUGGUAUCAAGAUAUGUUAUGGUAUGUGAGAAAUCGUGAAUAUCCUGAGCAAGCAACUGAGAAUGACAAAAGAACCUUGAGAAGGUUAGCCUGGGAGUAUGUACUAGAUGGGGACGUCCUUUAUAAAAGAAGGAAAGAUCAGGUGCUUUUGAGAUGUCUCGACGCUAUGGAAGCCAAACAAAUCUUGGAAGAAGUACAUGAAGGUGUUUGUGGGACACAUGCUAAUGGCUUUACAAUAGCAAGGCAAAUCAUAAGGUUUGGAUAUUAUUGGUCUACUAUGGAGGGAGAUUGUAUCAGCUAUGCUAAGAAAUGUCAUAAAUGCCAAAUAUAUGGGGACAAAAUUCAUGUAGCACAUUCACCUUUGCAUGUUAUGACUUCUCCAUGGCCCUUUUCCAUGUGGGGCAUAGAUGUCAUUGGGCCAAUAUCACCAAAAGCUUCGAAUGGGCAUCGUUUCAUUUUCAUGGUCAUUGACUACUUCACGAAAUGGGUAGAGGCAGCUUCAUAUGCUAGUGUUACCAAGUCAGCAGUAAGUCGAUUCUUGAAAAAGGAGAUUAUUUGUCGGUAUAAAAUGCCUGAGAGGAUCAUAUCAGACAAUGCAUUGAACUUGAAUAACAGCAUGAUUGCAGAAGUCUGCAGCCAAUUCAAGAUCAAACAUUAUAAUUCAUCUCUAUAUAGCCCAAAAAUGAAUGGGGCAGUGGAAGCUACCAACAAAAAUAUCAAGAAGAUAGUGGGGAAAAUGACUGAGACUUACAGAGAUUGGCAUGAUAAAUUACCAUUUGCACUCUUUGCUUAUCGAACGUCCAUCAGAAUCUCUACUGGGGCAACUCCUUUCUCGUUGGUUUAUGGGACGGAGGCAAUGUUACCUAUUGAAGUGGAAAUACCUUCUCUUCGAAUUUUGUCAGAGAUAAAGCUGGAUGAAGCAGAAUGGAUUCAAGCGCGGUAUGGUCAAUUGAACUUGAUUGAAGAAAAGAGGCUAAGGGCUAUUCAGUAUAGUCAGAUGUAUCAGAAGCGAAUGAUGCGAGCUUAUGACAAGAAAGUUCGUCCAAGAGAAUUUCACGAAGGGGAUCUUUUACUGAAAAAGAUUCUUCCCAUACAGAAGGAUUUUAGAGGAAAAUGGAUGCCAAAUUGGGAAGGGCCGUAUGUUGUGAAGAAGGCUUUCUCUGGUGGUGCAUUGAUUUUGACAGAAAUGGAUGGGAAGAGUUUACCCAAUCCAGUGAAUUCAGACUCAGUCAAGAAGUACUUUGUUUAAAGAGAAGGGAAGUUAAGGUGAAAACCCACAAAGGGCGCUUUGAGACUUCUUUAAAAAAAAGAGAGAAAAAAAUAGAGAGGCUAAGGUGAAAACCCACAAAGGGUGCCUUGAGACUAAAGGGGUUUUUGAGUUGAAAACCCGAAAGGGCAGCUCAAAAUUUGAAAAGCAUGCAAUGACCUUGCUAUACUGGAUUCAACAAGAAGUGGAAUGUGUUACAUACUGGGGCAUCAACAAAGUACUUUGGAUCUUCUAAACACAUGUUAAACUCAAAACAGUCUUCAUGGAGUUUGUAUACAGAAGCCCAAGCUGUGAUAUGUAGGGCAUCUAAUUUUUGUCCUGUUUACUAUCUUUGGAUUCUUUUUCUUCUCAAAGAUAUGUUUUCAGAUCAAUUUCCUUUUGUAUUUUUGAUGAUUUAUUUAACUAUUCUCAAGAUCAAAAUAUUUGUCUUCCAUUAUUUAUAAAGUGUGUUGCAUUGAAAUAAUGAUUGAUGAACUAAAAAUUUUUACAAACGAAGUUUUGCAUAUUACUCUGGAAAUCUCUAGAGAAUACAAGAAACUAAAAUAGAACAAUUGUUUGCAGAAUUCUCAUGAGUGAGGGUUGGAAAUACUCAAAAAACUUUCUUCUUCAGUCUAAAGGAUGAGUGGACAAUUCAAAUGAUUCAAUCCUAGGAAAGGAUCAUCUCCAGCAGGUCGUAACAUUAGAAAAAUGGUAUAAUGGGACCAAUUUGAUUCAAAGCAUAUGAGCAGAGUAUGAUUGAUACUUCGAGUAGAAUAAAGAUGAAACUUUGAUGGAUGAAUGAGUAAAUAUGUCCGAAAUAGGAGUUAUUCUCAUAACAUUUUGCAUCAUAAUAUGUCUAAGUAGGAGCAUUUGACUCAUUUCGAUCAUGGCAUCCUAAUCAUUAGGCAUGAGCACAUACGUAUUCUACAGGUUAUGUCCUUUAGGAGACAAUGUAGAUCACUGAUAGCAGAUUUGGCAUCUUUGUAUUAGACGGGGAGCAGAUCGAAGAUAGCAGAUCUGACAUUCGUGUGUUUACAUCGAAGCAGAUUGAAAAUGACAGAUUUGGCAUCUCCGUACUAGAUGGGGAGCAGAUCAAAUAUAGCAAAUCUGACAUUCGUGUGUUUACAUCGAAGUAGAUCGAAAAUGACAGAUUUGGCGUCUCCGUAUUAGACGGGGAGCAGAUCGAAGAUAGCAGAUUUGACAUUCGUGUGAAGCAGAUUGAAGAUGACAGAUUUGGCGCCUCUGUAUUAGACGGGGAGCAGAUCGAAGAUAGCAGAUCUGACAUUCGUGUGUUUACAUCGAAGCAGAUCGAAAAUGACAGAUUUGGCGUCUCCGUAUUAGACGGGGAGCAGAUCGAAGAUAGUAGAUUUGGCAUUCGUGUGAAGUAGAUCGAAGAUGACAGAUUUGGCGUCUUUAUAUUAGACGGGGAGUAGAUCGAAGAUAGUAGAUCUGACAUUCGUGUGUUUACAUCGAAGCAGAUCGAAAAUGACAGAUUUGGCGUCUCCGUUCGAAGAUGAUAGAUUGGCGUCCCUGUAUUAGACAGAGAGCAGAUCGAAGAUAGAAGAUCUGACAUUCGUGUGUUUACAUCGGAGCAGAUCGAAGAUGACAGAUUUGGCGUCUCUAUAUUAGACAGGGAGUAGAUCGAAGAUAGCAGAUCUAACAUUCGUGUGUUUACAUCGAAGCAGAUCGAAAAUGACAGAUUUGGCGUCUCUGUAUUAGACAGGGGGCAGAUUGAAGAUAGCAGUCUGAUAUUCGUGUGUUUACAUCAAAGCAGAUCGAAAAUGACAGAUUUGGCGUCUCUAUAUUAGACGGGGAGCAGAUCGAAGAUAGCAGAACUGACAUUCGUAUGUUUACAUCAAAGCAGAUCGAAGAUAGCAGAUUUGGCGCUCUGUAUUUGACGGGAAGCAGAUCAAGGAUAUUAACAUGGCGUCUUUGAGUUUGCGAUGAGCAAAUUGAAGACCAGGAAAUCAGGAUCUGAUAAGAUUAGGCAAAUUUGGUCUUUUUAUAGUCUUUGCUCUAUUCCUGUUACACAGUAAUGAGCAAAGAGGGGCAGCUGUAAUAACCCAAAUUUACCCAGCCCGUAAAAUAAAAUAAAAAACAAAAACCAAAGAAAUAAUAAUUUUUUUACAGUCCAUUUACAAAACCCAAAUUGCUAGCCUAUUUACAUAGCCCAAUUGAAGCACUACUUAUGGCCCAUUUACAAAUCACACCGGUAGCCCAAAUACCUAAACUACCCAGUAGCCCAUUACAUCCUUAACCCAAAGAUACACGGGGCCCAAAGGGCCCAAACUAUUAACAGAAUCAGAGGACCUAGGGUUUUCUGAAACCCUAGGCUCCGUAAGCACCCUAAACCAGGCCUCACCUCGCACCCCAAUCGACGCGCCAGUACAUCAUCAUCAGCGCUUGAUCGUCGCUGGUUUUCUCGUCGUCACCUGCAAAAAGGGAAAGAAAUACACAGCAAACAUGGCAAGGAAUCAAACAGAAUAAAACACCAAAUUUGUACUUAGAAAACAAGGGCUAUAAAAGUCGAAUAUCUUCACUGUAGUAUGGACUAUUUUUUAUAGAGAUAUAAAGAGAUACACACAUAUACUUUUACAAUAAAAUACCAGCAUCUUAUCGAAGAAACAGAGGUGAUUUGCCUUUAUUUUUUUCUUUUUUUUUGUUAUAAAUACAUACAAAUAUCAUUAAAAUAAAAUAAAAGAAAUUUACCAUCAAAAUUGUGCUGAAAAUCGGAGCUCUUCAACUUUCGACCGCCGUACGUGGCGGAGUUGACGGCGGCGCGUGGGCGCGUGGGAGCCCUUGGACGGAGGCUCGACGGAGCUCCGAGAGCCUGCCCUCAAUCCUCUUUCAGAGGGUUUUUUUUUAAACGGGUUUAAAAUGAUUUUUGAGGCCAAAAUUUGGCUUAAAACAAUAGGCUUUAAAACGGUGUCGUUUCAAGGCUGAGGAUCCGCCUGUUGACUCAUGACCCGGGGAGGAUCCGCACGUUUUUGGCAAAUGGGCAAAUUGUUGUUUGAGCCCUUCCGCAUUUUUUAUUUUUUUUGUUUAAUUUUAAAUUUCUCUAUUUUAAAUCUGGCCCUAAUAGUUUGUUUCUGUUUCAAUUUGGUUCCUGAACCCAUUAAAGUGUAAUCCUUGAAACAGCGCCGUUUUGAGAUUAGGGCUAAUUGCCCAGUGAGCCCCUCGAAUUUUAGUUUGUGUUUCAAUUAGGGCCAAAAUUUUUCAUUUAAAAUUAACCUUAGAGUUUUGUUUUUAUUUAAUUUUAAUCUUUUUUAAUUUUUAUAUAAUUUAUUUAUUUUAAAUAUUAUAUAUAUUAUUAUUUAUUUUUACUAUAAACAUUAUUUAUAUAUGUAAAAAUGGUUAUUAUAUAUUUUAUUUUUAUUUUUAUUUGUGUAUUGUUUAUUAUAUUAUUUACAUUUUAUUAUAUAUUUUGAUUUAUACAUUUUAUUAUAUAUCAUUUUAUUAUAUAUAUUAUUUUUAUUCUAUUAUACAUUAUAUAAUUAUUUAUUAUUUAUUAUUAUGUAUAAUUUUAAAAAUUUGUAAAUUAUUAUUAAAUAAUACAUAUAUUAUUAUUAAAUAUUUAGUAUAUUAUGUAAUAUUCUAAAUUUACUAUAAAGUUUUGCUCCUAUUUAAUAUAAUAUUAUUUUUAUAAAUAUAUAUUAAGUUAUUAUAUUAUAUAGUAUAUUUAUAUAUAUUAACCAUUUUUUUUAAAAUUCUCCUUUCUUAUUUAUAUAUUGUUUUAAAUAUUUAUUUCUGAUAUCUCAUUUAUUUUUUAAUUAUAUUUAGUUUUUGUCUUUAUUUUUCUUUUUUUUAACCAUUUUUUAUAUGAUCAUAAUUUGUUUAUUAUCUUUAUUGUCAGUAUGUUGAUUUAUUUCAUAAAUUAUUUAUUAUUUUUAUGGUUUUUAUAUUUGCAUGAAAAUUGAUUAUUUAUGUUGUUAUUUUAAGUUAUAUUUGCAUGAAAUAUUAUUGUAUAGAUUAUGUAAUUUAUAUUGUUAUAUUCAUUGUUUUCUACGUAGUAUUGUGCAUGAAAUGAUAAUGUAUUUAUAUUAGGUAACUUGUGUCGGUAUUUAUCAUUGUUUUCUAAGUUAUAAAAGUCACACGCCCGUGUGCCUCACACGGCAUUAGACACACCCGUGUCUCUAAGCCAUGGCAAAAUAGGGCAUACAUACUGACUUGUCCAUACGGCCACAUGACACGCCUGUGUGUCAAGCUGUGUGAAAAUUAGGGAGACUACUGACUUGGGUUACACGGCCAGUCACAUGCCCGUGUGUCUAGCUCGUGCUCGAAACUGACUUAGCCAUACGGCUUGGCACACGCCCUUGUGUGCAACCGUGUGGUCUGCCCAGGCUCAUUUCAAAAUGGCCCUUGAGCAACAUGGCAGAGACACACGCCUGUGUCCCUGCCCAUUUGGGGGAAAAUAGGCCAUUUACAAUGCCAAUAUGCCACCCAUAUAGGGUCCUCCCUAUAAGCACCAAUUAAGCUUCAAAUGCACCAUAAUUUCAACCAAUUUUAAUCCCAAAACAUACAUCAUUCAUGCCAUAUUAUAAUAACCAAUUUCAUGCUUAUAAUCCAUACCAAAUCAUGUCAAAUCAUAAGCCAAAGUCACAACAAAACAUAUGUUUCAUAACCUCAAUUUACUUCAUUCAAUCUCAUGCCAUAAUCUUACCAAUUUCUCAAAUAAGCACAUACCAAAAUCUUACCAAAUUGACCAAUUCUCUUUAGCCAUCCAUAAACACCUCAUAUUGACAUAAUUUCAUCACAUAGUUUAUACUCAAAAGUCAUUCAUAAACACAACCAUAGCCAAGCCACAUCACAUGGCUAGAUAUUCACAACUCAAAAACAUAUCUCAAUUUAUCUAGACUAUACAUGCCAUACUUAAAUAUUUACACUUUCAAAAGGUACCAAAGUAAAGUUCAAUAGUGUGGUAAUGAUCUUCGACUACCCCCAAACUCCCGGUAGUUUCGAUAUCUAAAAAAUAUUGAAAAUACACACAAAGUAAGCUUUUAAAAGCUUAGUAAGACAUACAAAUAAAAUUAUCACAUAACACAUUUCUAAUUCAAUUCAUUCAUGUAGCUCAUGGCAAAACCUAACCACAUAUCCAAAAAUCUCAUAUUGCUCAUUUGUGCAUAAUUCACUUACAUAUAACACAUCUCAUUCUCAUAUAAUACAUAAAUAUUUCAUAUGACCACAUAUGUUCAUAUACUUACCUUUCAUUCUCAAUCAUGAUAUACAUUUAAAAUGUACCUGAAUUAAAUACACAUUCACAUAGUCAUUAAUUUCUCGGAAUGCCCGUUGAACCCUAUGGAAUCAAUAGGAUACGCGGAUAACUCAGAAAGCUCGUACAAUGCCAACAUCCCAGACGUGGUCUUACAUGUAUUCUAACAUCGAUGCCACUAUCCUAGACAGGGUCUUACACAAAAUCAAAUAUGAUACUGAUGUCCUAGACACGAUCUUACAUGUAAAUCUCAAAUCGAUGCCAACAUCCCAGACGUGGUCUUACACUAAAUCACAUAUCAGAAAUCCUAUGUCAUGACAUAUGUAUCCUAACUAUUCCUAUGGUUCGUACGGGCCUUUUCGGACGUCACCACAUUAUCAGAACUUUCUCAGAUUUCUUAUAUUCAACGCAAAUAGCCAAUCAUCACAAUUUAUCGGCAUAUAAGCCAUAAUAAUUCAAUACAAACACAUUUAUUUGUAUAUCGACUUACCUCGUACGGGAAUGAACAGAAACAAACAGUUAUUCAACUACUUUCGACUUUCCCUGAUCUAAUUUCUUUUUCUUUGGUUCUUGAUCUAGAUACAUUCAAAUUUAACUUAUUCAAUCUCACAUUCAUUCAAAUAAAUCCAUAUACACAUAUUUAGGGCAUUUUACAAAUUAGCCCUCAUAUUUUCACAUUUUAACACUUUAGUCCCUAAUCACAAAAAUCACAAAAUAUACAAAAUUUCAUUCCACACAUGCCUAGCCGAAUUUUCCUUUAGCUCAUAUAAGCCCACAUAUUUCAUUUAUUUCACAUUUUAGCCCUUUAGUUUCUCAUUUUCACAAUUUAGUCCAAAGUACUCAAAUUCAUCAAAAAUUCAAAGAUAAAACAUAUUAACCUAACACAUAUCUUUCAUUUUCCAUCAACUAACAUCACAAAGCUUACAAUUUCAUCAAUGGCAUAACUCAAAUUCAUCAUCAAAUUCAAAAAUUGAGACAUGGGCUUGAUCGAUUACUAAGCAAUAAUCACAAAAACGUAGAAAUUAUCAAAAACCGAGCAAAACACAUACCUAAAUCAAAGAAGACCAAGGCCCGAACCCCAACUUUAGUUUUUCUUUCUUUUUCUUCUUCAAUUUCCGGCAACAUGAAAUUAAUGGCCUAAUUGCAUGCCUUUGUUUUAUUUUAAUUAACAUAAUAUACUAAUUACUAUAAUAACCUUUGUUAAACCAUUAUAAAAUUACUUAAUGGAUGGUCAUUAAUGUACAUUAACCUUAGUUAUGAUCUAAUAACAUCAUAAGGACCUCUCCUUUAAUAAGACAUAACAAAUAGGGACACUUAACAUAUAGCAUGCAACUUUUACAUUUUAUGCGAUUAGGUCAUUUUUAUCAAAUCGGCACACAAAUAAUAAAAUUUUCACACGAAACUUUCACAGAUAUUAAUUCACAUAUUAUAAGCAUGGGAAAUAAUAUUAAAAUAUUUUUUUAACUCAGAUUUGUGGUCCCAAAACCACUAUUCUGACUAGGGUCUAAACCGGGCUGUUACAAGUUAAUUAGCCCUUAUCUUAAUUCGAAGUAAAAUGCAUGUUCUUCAUUAUGUUAAGAAGCAUAUCUUUUUAGCGGAAGCUUUGGAAAAUACUUAUUUUAGAAAAAUAGUUUGAUCUUAGUGAAAACUGAGUUUAUCAUGUCUAGUAGUAAUAAACUGUAAAAUAAUUUAAGAAACUGAAAACUUAAGCCAGACAGUCCAAAGUCCAUAAGUUACAUCAAACCUCCAAAAUAAGUAAUAAAAUUUGAAAAUUAAAUAAAACAGUCUAAAAUUUACGUGUGGCCACCAUCGAGUUCUCCGCUGCGUUGAUCCGUCAAGUCUGGGGAUUACCUGCACAGAUUAAACAGAAAAGGGUGAGUUUUCGCAAACUCAGUGUGUAAUCCCCAUAGAAAACAUGCAUACAGGAACACAUCAGAAUACAGUCAAAUACAGGCUGGGCCUGAGCCCAGUACAAACUCGGUCUGGGCCUUAGCCCAAUCAAAUAUAGUUUUAGAUAUAUAUAUUAGGGCCUUAGCCCAUUUCAGAUACAAUAUGCAAUAGCAGAAAAUCAGAAUCCUACCCACCAGCCUCUACACACCAUCUCCGUCCAUCCCUACACACCAUGUGGGAAUUAAAUCAACCCACCCAUCCCUACAGGCCAUGCUGUAUCGAAAUGCGGUACAUAAUAAAAAAUUUGCAGCAGAACUGCCAGAUAAUAGGCUUGAUAGCCUUUCAGACUUCCUCCAAAUAACAAUAACCCACCCCGAUGCAACACAACAUACAAAAGAUGUCAUGCUAUUAUGUAGUUACAGUCCAUACAUUCAGAUCAGCAUAUAUGCUCAAUUUAGAUAUCAUACAGAUAGUUCAUACAAUUAGGGGUCUAAGUAAUGCUUACCGACCCUAUAGUAGGUUCACAGUCGACUUGGGCGACCCAUGCAACCCUAAGCAACUUUUCAGAAACAUGGGCUCACACGCUCAUGUGGCCCACAUGGCCCAAUUUGGCCUUGGCCGUGUGGAUCAUACGGCUCGACCCAGAAUCCCACAAGCCCGUGUGGGCCCAUAAGCCUAUAUGGCCUACACGGCCCAGAUCGGUCUAGCCUGUGUGUCGCACACGGCCUACCUGGCCAUCACACGGCCGUGUCAUGCGCGCAAGGCCGGGCUCGUCGUUACCACGCCCGUGUUCUUUCACACAGCCUACCACAUGGGCGACCACACACCCGGUGGCAUAGACAGAAAGUUUUUUUGGCUUUUAGCUAAAUCUCGUUUUUUGCGUUUUCGGGUACACACCUGGUAUCGUUUUGUCGUAGAAAUACUUCCGAGAUAACUAGCACCAAAUAGUUGACAGAACCAAACCCAGAACCAAUCUUAAGAUUCGAUUAGAUCGAAAUUCGAAACCUACCACUCAUAUCACGCGUUUAACAUUUACCCCCAAAACUCUGAAUGGCUCGAUUACGAAACAGCACGAUGAGAACUCCGUUUCGCCCGACUCACUGUGGUCAAAACAUAGAUUCCCUAUUAACAAAGAAUUUCUCAUACUUCAAACGAUUUAAGCAAAAGAUUACCUACUCGAGUGAAAAGAAAAACACUUCCACUUACCAAACUAUAGCAGUCACACGUUGAAUAAAAGAAGACAAAACAGAAAAGAGGUCAAGAAGAAAAAUGAAGAUGGAGGAACGAAAUUUGGUAGAGAAGCGAAAGAAAAAAAAAGCAUCAGAAAUUUUAAAAAUAAAAUCAAAAUAAAAUAUUUUGAUAACUCUUCACCAAUUCACCUCCUAACCACCCACUCUCAGUCUUUUAGUACGAAAGAAACUCUUUCAAUCAAACGAGCAAAAAUAAAACACCAUCUUGCUAACACAGGGAUUCGAGCACAGAACCUUCAGCAAACCCACAUUCCACCUAACUACUAGACCAGCAGACCCAUUCUGAUAUAAGCUUAUCAACAAUUACUUAAAAGCCUACUGACCAAUGAUAAAGCUUAAUUCAGAAAAAUACCAAAAUUUAACCCCAAGUAAGGCUUGAACUUGGGACCUCCCACACACACCCAGAACAUAUAACCAUUUAAGCCGAUACACAGUUGUCACAUUUUAGCAGAAACAAAAAUAAGAAUUUUAGGGCGUUACAGCUCUACCCCCUAAAAGAAAAUUUCGUCCUCGAAAUUUACCUGAUCAGAAUAGAUUAGGAUACUCCAAACGUAUCGCAUCCUCAAGCUCCCACGUAGCCUCCUUAGUGCUAUGAUUCCGCCACAGCACAUUCAGAAAGGAAUAGAUUUCCUCCUCAGAACUUUAAUGUCGCAAUCCAGAAUCUGAACCGACUCCUACUUGAAGGUCAAGUCUGGCCUAACCUCAAUCUCCUCAACAGGGACAAUAUGCAUGGGAUCAGAGUGAUAGCGCCUCAACAUCGAGACGUGAAACACAUCGUGAAUAUGAUCUAACUCUCGAGGUAGCUCCAACUGAUAAGUGACUAGUCCCACUCGUUUCAGAAUCUAGUACGGCCCAAUAAACCUAAGGCUCAACUUGCCCUUGCGACCAAACCUCAAAACCUUUUUCCAUAGCGAGAUCUUCAGAAACACGAAGUCCCCCACAGAAUACUCAAUCUCAUGUCUCUUCAGAUCAGCAUAAGACUUCUGUCUGUCAGAAGCCGUUUUUAGACAAUUUCGAAUCAGUCUAACCUUAUCCUCAAUCUCAGAAACCAACUCAGGACCCAGAACACGUCGUUCACCCAACUCUAUCCAGCAUAGGGGAGUACGACACUUACAACCAUAUAGAGCUUCGUAAGGUGCCAUCUGAGUGCUAGAUUGAAAGUUAUUAUUAUAGGUGAACUCGGCUAGCGGCAGAUAGUCCUCCCAACUGCCUUGGAAAUCAAUCACGCAGCUCCUCAACAUAUCCUCCAGUAUCUGAAUCACCCUCUCAGAUUGACCAUCAGUUUGAGGAUGGAACACAGUACUGAAGUCCAAUCUCAAACCCAAAGCCUCAUGCAACUUCCCUCAAAAUUGAGACGUGAAGCGAGGAUCCCUAUCAGAGAUAAUCAAAACUGGUACCCCAUGCAGCUCACUACCUCAGAAAUAUAAAGCUUAGCCAGCUUCUAUAGCGAAUAGUCCGUACGAACCGGUGUGAAGUCUGCUGACUUGGUCAAUCGAUCCACGAUGACCUAAACAUAAUCCUUCUUAGUGGGUGUCAAGGGUAGCCCACUAAUGAAGUUCAUCAUCACACGUUUCCACUUCGAAAGGGGAAUCUUAAUCGGGUGUAACAAACCCGAAGGUGACAGGUGCUCAGCCUUAACCUGCUGGCAUGUCAAGCAUCUAGCCAUAAAAUUGGUAACUUUUUAUUUCAGUCCUGGCCACUAGUACAACUCACGGAGAUCUCGGUACAUCUUGUUCCCACCAGGGUGCAUAACAUAAGGGCUACUAUACACCUCUCGCCUCUCUAAGUAUAGACUACCUUAGAUCAGAAUCAUUCGGCACACAUAUCCGGCCUCAGAAACACAACACACUCUUAGAGUUCAACCCAAAAUCUGUAGUGCUACCACUCUCAAUUUGUCGAAACCGAAGACCCAAAAACUCAUUCUCCAACUGUUUACCCUUAAUCUACUCGAUCCAAGUUGGUUUAACCUGAAGCUCAGCUAACAAACUACCAUCACCAAAUAAACUAAAGCGAGCAAACAUCAGCCUCAGAUCAGACAUAGCCCUAUGGUUCAAAGCAUCAGCCACCAUAUUGGCCUUGCCAAGAUGGUACUCGAUUGUGCAGUCGUAAUUCUUAAGCAGCUCGAUCCAUCUACGUUGCUUAAGAUUUAGCUUUUUUUAGGUAGGGAGGUAUUUGAUGCUCUUGUAAUUAGUGUAGAUGAUACACCUCUCACCAUACAGAUAAUGCCUCUAGAUUUUUAGCACAAAUACCGCUGCGGCCAACUCCAAGUCAUACGUCAAAUAAUUCACCUCAUAAGUGUUAAGUUGACGAGACGCAUAUGCAACCACAUUACCAUCCUGCAUCAACACACAACCCAGAUCGACAUGUGAUGCAUCACUAUAUACCACGAAGUCUUUACCAGGCUCAGGCUGUAUCAGAAUAAGAGCCUGAGUCAGAACAGUCUUGAGCUUCUCGAAGCUUUCUUACUAUGCAUCAGUCCACACAAAAGGAACUCCGUUACACAGAAGCUUAGUUAAUGGAGUUGCGAUCAAGGAGAACCCUUCUACAAAACACCGAUAGUAACCCGUUAACCCUAGAAAGCUGUGGAUCUCAGACACAUUCUUCGACUGUUUCCAAUCCAACACCGCCUAGAUCUUAUGAGGAUUGACUCAUAUCCCCUCAACAGAAACUAGAUGUCCCACAAAUGUUACUUCCCGAAGUUAGAACUCACACUUGCUGAACUUCGCAUACAGCUGUUUCUCACGAAGAAUCUUUAAUACCACUCUAAGAUGCUCAUCGUGCUCAUAUUUAGUCUUAGAAUACACCAAAAUAUCAUCAACAAAAAUCACCAUAAACUGAUCCAAGUAGGUCUAGAACACUCCGUUCAUCAAGUUUAUAAAUGCCGCUAGCGCAUUAGUCAAUCUAAAGGGCGUCACUAGGAACUUGUAGUGACCAUAACACGUCCUAAAUGUCGUCUUAUACACAUCAGCCUCCUUAACCCUCAAUUGAUGAUAACCCGAAUGUAGAUCAAUCUUGAAAAACAUAGAAGCCCCUCUGAACUGGUCGAACAAAUCAUCCAUCCUCGAAAGUAGGUAUUUAUUCUUAAUUGUUAGCUUGUUUAACUGUCGGUAGUCGAUACACAUCCUCAUUGUCUCAUCUUUCUUUUUCACAAACAACAUAGGUGCUCCGAUGGAGACACAGUGGGACGAAUGGACCCACGAUCCAACAACUUCUAAAUCUAAUCCUUAAGCUCUAUAACCUUCUUUAAUGCCAUUUGUUAGGGGGCGAUAAACAUCGAAGCUGUACCCGAAAUAAGUUCAAUCCCAAAAUCCACUUCUCGACUUAGAGGCAAACCCGAUAGCUCCUCAAGAAAGACAUCUGGAAAAUCUUUUACAGCUCUGAUGUCCUUCACAGAAGAAUCCCCAGAAUCAGAAACACUUACAUAGGCUAAAUAUGCCUCACAUCCUUUUUGGACCAACUUUUUUGCCACCAAUGCAGAAAUCACAUUAGUCAGAAAAUCCCAAUGUUCCCCAAUCACAACCACCUCAUCGUUCCCCUCAAUUCUCAAAACAAUCCUCUUAGUCGCACAGUCUAGACUUACUCGAUGCUUGAUCAACCAGUCUAUUCCCAAAAUAAAGUCGAACUCCUCGAACGAAAGCUCCAUCAAAUCAGCCAAAAAAAUGUCCCUUGGACCCCUAACAAACGUCUCUAUACAAUUUGCUAACUCAGAUAAAUUGCCCCAAAGGACUCACAACAGUCACCUCACUAAGAGUACUCUCAACUAGAAUCCCCAAAGUUUCAAAUACAGUGCUAGCUACAUAGAAGUGUGUAGAACAUAUGUCUAUUAAUGCCAGAUAAGGUACAUUAUAAAUUAAAAACGUACCCGUAUGACGUCUAGAGUAUCUUAUUAUCUCGUCAAUGAGUAACAUAAACAAGAGCGAGCAACCUUGCCUCAGUAUGUCUAGCACCUCUACCCGGUGCUCUCUGUCCACGACCCAUGCUGUUACCACCCCUAGCCUAACCACGGCCCCUAGGUGGCUACUGAACUACCCCCGGCGGCUACACGGUACCAAAACCCAGAGCUUGCAUCUGAUCAGCCCUCAGUGGACACUCUCGAACGCGGUGCUUAGUAGACCCACAUCUCAAACAUGCCCCAGUCAUCCUUCAACAUUCGUCCGAAUGGCGUCUACCACAAUGCCCACAAGGCAAGAUCCUAGUAGGUGGAAUAGGGGCUCCAACUCUAACUGGCCCAUCAGGUCUGGCCUUUUUCUUAGGCCUCAUCGCAGAACUCAAGGGCUACGAAUCCCUCUUAUUCUUGUCUUACGCCUUAUCUCGGUUUUGGAGUUCAGCGCGCUUCAGCUCGUCAACGAUCUUCGCCUUCUCUACUAGUGCUAAAAAAUACUCCUUCUGCGGAGCUAUCAGAACUCUCAAACUGUCUUUGAAUCCAUCCUCGAAGUGUACACAACGCUCAUAUUAAGUUGCCACUAUACCUCACACAUAACAGCUUAAUCUCAAAAACUCGGCCUCAUACUCGGCCAUUGAACGAUCCCCUUGCGUGAGAUUUAGAAACUCACGUUUCCUAGCAUCGAUGUAGCUUGCCCUCACAUAUUUACCUUGGAAAGUAGACUUAUAGAAAUCUCAUGUCAGUCGUUCGAGCUGAGUGCCCUCCUUAACGGUCAGCCACCAUUGGUAUGCUUUAUCGCGAAGUAAGGAAACAACCCCUUUCAAUUUCUGUUUAGGGGUAAAGUCCAAAUCAUCCAUGAUUCUUUCCGUGGCCUCUAUCUAGUACUUGGCCACGUUAGGGGUGACCCCAGUGACACCCCUAAAUAGCUCAGCCCUGUUGGACUGGAGUCAUUCUAUAACCGACCCUCAGCCCCCAGAUCUAGUAUUGGGCCCAGCGACCCUCUCCAAUAUCCUAAGCAUAACUUGGGACAGUACGUCGUCCCGAGCCAUGCGGUUUUGAGACCCAAUCUCCAUUGUAGGUGAAACCGGUAUCUCACUCGUGUCUAAAUUAGGCAUGCUGCCAGAUGAUAAUGACUCAGCUCGAGCCCCUCUACGGCCCCUUCCACGGCCUCUAGUACCCCAUCCACGGAUACCUUAUACACUCAUCGCGGAUUCGAUGUUUAUCUACAUUAAUAGUUUUAUGAAUCACUUACAAUUUCAAUAUUUAUUAGCAGAUAUUUUAUGCAAAACAGUAUCAGAAGUUUAAAGUUUGCUAUCACGAAUCGCAAUCUUAGUACAGUUUUCAAUUUCGCUACUAUUUUCAGUAUACACUAUCUACAGUGUUUUCAGUACAGUGUACUACCUAUAGUAGUUUGAGAAUAUACUAAUCAUAUUUCCAAAAACUUAUCAUAGUUUAUAGAACACUUACAGGAUCAGCGCCGGAGACUCGAUGCACCGCAUAUUCAGUCAAAAAUAUUUCAAACCAUUUAAAAAUCAUUUCUUUACAACCAAGUUUUAAAACCCAAAUCCACAGUCGAGUUUUGCAACCUGACUCUGAUACCACUAAAUGUAACACCCCAAACCCGGCUUAAACGUUAUGGCUGAAUUUGGCGAUGUCACAUAGAAUGGGAAUUUAAAAACAAGUUUGUUGAGUUAAAACCAUUCUAGUUAAUUAGCCCUUAUCUUAAUUCGAAGCAAAACGUAUGUUCUUCGUUAUGUCAAGAAGCGUAUCUUUUUAGCGGAAGCUUUGGAAAAUACUUAUUUUAGAAAAAUUGUUUGAUCUUAGUGAAAACCAAGUUUAUCAUGUCUAGCAGUAAUAAAUCGUAAAAUAAUUUAAGAAACCAAAAACUUAAGCCAAACAGUCCAAAGUCCAUAAGUAACAUCAAACCCCCAAAAUAAGUAAUAAAAUCUAAAAAUUAACAAAAAUAGUCUAAAAUUUACGUGUGGCCAACAUCGAGUUCUCUGCUGCGCUGAUCCAUCAAGUCUGGGAUUACCUGCACAAAUUAAACAGAAAGGGUAAGUUUUCGCAAACUCAGUGUGUAAUCCCCACAAAAAACAUGCAUACAGGAACACAUCAGAAUACAAUCAAAUACAGGCUGGGUCUGAGCACAUUACAGAUUCAUUUUAGGCCUUAGCCCAAUCAGAUAUAGUUUCAGAUAUAUAUAUUAGGGCCUUGGCCCAUCACAAAUACAAUAUACAAGGGCAGAAUAUCAGAACCCCACCCACCAGCCUUUACACACCAUCUCCGUCCAUACCUACACACCAUGUGGGGAUUAAAUCAACCCACCCAUCCCUACACACCAUGUUGUAUCGAAAUACGACACAUAAUCAGAAAUUUGCAGCAGAGCUGGCAGAUAACAGGCUUGAUAGCCUUUCAGACACUUCCUCCAAAUAACAAUAACUCACCCGAUGCAAUGCAACAUACAAAAGAUGUCAUGCUAUUAUGUAGUUACAGUCCAUAGAUUCAGAUCAACAUACAUGCUCAGUUCAAAUAUCAUACAGACAUUUCACACAAUUAGGGGUCUAAGUAAUGCUUGCCAACCCUAUAAUAGGUUUACAGUCGACUUGGGUGACCCAUGCAACCCUAAGCAACUUUUCAGAAACAUGGGCUCACACGGCCAUGUGGCCCACACAGCCCAAUUUGGCCUUGGCUGUGUGGAUCUAUCAUACACGUAAUUUAAUUCAACUCUACUUUUAACUUAUAAAUACGAAAAAUGUUGUGGUUGAGUUCAAGAAAAUGAAGAAAAGGUAUUGAACAUGUAAAUAAAUAAGGUCAGUAACAAGUUCAUUAUUAAUGAUGUGUUUAAUAUAUAGAUCCAUGUAUUCGUGUAUUUUGAAUACGUAAUGAAUAAAGUGCAAAAUAAGAUGAGUGAUGGUUCUAUUGACUUGAAACCAUGACCAAGAAAAUGGACCAGAAUAGACAAGCUUCAGCGGGGUGAGGCAAUUGUGAAUGCGGAUCAGGUUCUAAUAUGUACUUACUGAGAUAGGUGUCAUUCAGGCGAUUAUUGGAGGAAAAUGGGGGUGUGUUUAAGAUGUGGGUCUAUUGAGCAUUGAGUUUGGGAUUGUUCACAAAACUCUUUUAGUCAGAUACAAUCUUCGAUACAGAAAUAGAAUCUGAGACGUGGAUAUGCAACUAGGUGUCGAGCGAGCCGUGGUGCAUCUAGUAAUGAUACAGGUACUUUUAUGAUAUGUUCCAAAUGUACUGUAUAUUGAUAAGAAUUGUUUGUGCCUACAUUUUAUGGUAAGUGAUGUUUUUUAGAGUCUAGCGUAAAGGAUCGUUAGUGAUGUUUCGAUGGAAAUCUUAUUGAGGUAGUCCGAGGUAGUGAAUAGGAAAUUCCUCUGAAAUAUUAUCUAAAUUGGGUUUGAAUAGAGAGUAGAGUUGUACAACGAUAGCAUGAUGGUUGGUUUGGACUAGGGAAUUUUAGAUUUUGCGGUUAAGUGUAUGGUGUAACAGUAGGAAUUUCGAGGAUGAAAUUCUUUUAAAGAGGGGAGAGUUGUCACAUCACAAAAAUCGGGUUAGAAAAAAUUGGGUAAGUGAAACCAAGAGUGACCAUAUUCUGAAUUUUUAGUUAAUAUUGUAAAAAUUAUGUCAAUGGAGUAAACCUGGUUUAGUGGAUAGGUGUUAUGCUUGUGUGUGUGAGGUUCUAAGUUCAAAUUUUUCCUUUGAAUUUUUGUCAUCUUUGGUCUUAACCUCUUUCCCUGAUCAUUUUUCAUAAAUAAUAUUUUUGUUCAAUUGAUUUUAAGGUUGAGCAUGUUAAUUCAGUGGUAAGGCUUCAGAUUACCCUAAAGUUUCAUGUUUGAGACCCUAUGUGUGCAAAGUAGAAAUACUUUUAUUUCCUUACACUAUGUUGCCCAUGCGAUGGUAUUUGGUUGGAUUUAAACUCAAAGAGAAUCUAUUUAGAAGGUAGUCAGAUUUAGUGGGUUGAGUGGUUAGUUACUUUUUAUUUUCCCAAAAUCUCUCUACAAACUGCCAUCACUUUCCCACUCCUUCUCUUUGCCAUCUCAUUGAUUUUUUUUCCAAUCUCCAUAUUCUUGAUUUUUAACCAUUUUUGCUCCAAUAAGUCUUUGUUAAUCUUUUUGCUGAUAACGACCUUUUUUCCAUAUUUUGUUGCCUUUUGGUUUCAAUUUAACCUUACGAAGGACAAUUAUAGGCCAAAAGUUCAUUCAUACUAUACCUAACCAAUAUACCCUUCAUAGGCACCUCAUGUAACACCCCUAACCCAUUUCCAUCGCAGAUUAGGGUUACAGAGCGUUACCAAACAAUCGAAGCAUUUAACAUAUUCACAUUCAAAUAAAUUAAACAAAUUAUAAUCCAUUCAAUAUCAUGCAUGUUGUCCCUAAAUCGGGCAUUCUAGGCUCUAAAAGUAGGUUAGAAUUAAUUUGAGACUAAUUUGAAACAAAACAAAAAGUUUAAGAUAAGUUAUAAAAAUUGGAAAAUAGGGGUCACACGGGCGUGUGAAAUCAUCCCAAGUCGUAUAACUUUCGAACAAGGGACACACGACUGUGCCCCAGCCCAUAUCCUCACCUGUGUAACUCACUGGGUAGGGCCAUACGGCCAUGUCACACGCCUGUGUGCCAGGCCGUGUGCUAGGCCAUGUGAACCCAUAAAUCACUUAAAUCAAGUCAUUUCACAAACAAUUCAUGCAUAACAACAUGAUCAAAUUUGUGCACACUUUUAAGGAACCUAAGCAUCAUUCAAACAUGCAUAAAUAUGCCAUUCCAAGCAUUCUAAGUCACCUAACAAAUAUGCCAUUCAAGGCACCACAAAUGCAUCAAAACAUAAAAUACCUAAACAUGCCAAUAUUUCCAUAAUCCAAACAUAAUAACCAAGUUCAAUUAACUACCAUUUAAAACCAAAUGCAAACCAUCAAAACAUACCAAAGAACCUUAAAUACAAGCAUAGUAAGGUAACCGAAAUGACACAACUUGGUAAGGCAUCAAAAUGUACUAAACCAACAUAACUUUCAAAACUUAUACAUAUCCAAAAACAUCAUUAACACAUUCAUCAAAAUACCAUUCUCAAACCGUCACAAACAUACCAAAAGAUCAUGCUUAUCAAUCACUAAAAGUGGUCAACUUGACCUUAUUUAACAAGCAAUACAAGUCCAUCAUAUAAACAUAAACAUAAACUUCAAGACACACGCAUACUAAAUCAACCAUUUAAUACAUCCAUGAGCCAUCAAUAUAAAAUACCUAUACAUGCCAUUAUUAACCUUGGCCAAAAUACUCAAAAACUACCGAAUUGAUUGUUGAAUAGUGUGACAGGUCUUCGACGAGCUUCCAACCAAAUUGAGCUUCUGAUAAUCUAAAAAGUAAAGAAAAAUAACUACAUAAGUAACGAGUUCUUAGUAAGCUCGCAUAAACUUAAACACAACUUACCAUUUCAUUAUUACAACUCAUAGAUUAAGUAUAAAUCAUUACCAAACCAUAAGAUUAGUAUGAGCCUAUUGAAACACCAUCAAACUCACAAAUUAGUAAGUUCAUCAACAUCAUAUAUAAAUUCAUUUAUAACAUAAGUUUUCAUAAGAUUAUGAACCUUUCCACUUACUUACUUACUAGACCACCAAAUGCUUAGUAAAAGCCUAAACAACAUCAUCAAUUCACAAGUUAGUGCACUUAUCCAUGAUAUAAAUAAGUUUAUUCAUAACAUAAGUAGAUUUCCCAUAUAUAAGUACAUCAUUUAACUCAUCAAUCUUUUUAUAACAUCAAGUUACAUCUCAAUUGUGAACUUACCAUUUCAUUUCCUUUUCUUACCUGUUGAACCACCUAGAAUUACAUUGGAUAUUAGGGAAAGCUCACACAUAGUGUGCCUUUACAUAUAACCGUAACAUUUCCUUUACAUCAAUGUUCACACGAGCUGUGAAAUGAGCCUGCUCACACGAGCUGUGAAAUGGGCCUGCUCACAUGAGCUGUGGAGAACUCACAACAAUGCAGGACUUCAGCCAUUGGUAAGACAUUCAAGACCAGCACCCGAAACAUAAAAUCCCUAAUGACAUGCUAUUUGUAUCCUAAGAAUUCUUAAAAUUCAAUCGAAACUUAAUAGCCGUCAAUUCAUCAUAGCAUUAGUACAUUUAUAUAGUAAUUCAUUUACAUUAAAAUGACAUAACAAACUGUCAAAACCAUUUUUGAAUUUUGAACAAAAAACGGUGAUCAACUUUAAAACGAAAUAUGGAGUCGCCACCAAUCUUUUUUGUUUAGGUGUGAUCAGAUUUCCUAAUAAAGCAUUUCAUUUUAUUAAAAUAUUAAUUUUUGCCUGCGAAAUUCAAGAAAACGGGUUCGGGAGUCGGUUACGUAGAGGAAGGAUUAGCACCCUCUCAACGCCCAAGAUUGGUAUCUAAUUGAUUAAUUAAUGUCCUAUUGUCGAAAAUUUGAAAAGAUUUUGAAAUACAAUCCCUUUUUUAAAAAAAAGUUUGGAUGACUUGAAAUGAAUAUCAAGAUUCUCUUGUCCCGUAAUAAUAAAAUAUCAUGUCUAGCACAUUAGGAUACGACAUUUCAAAUCCACAAUACCAAGAUCGUCUCAUGAUUUCCAAAGUUCAUAUAUUGACAAUUUAUAAAAGGGUAUUUGGCUAUUUGGUCAAACGAAAAAAAUUGAAACCCAAUACAUUAGGGCACGAUUUCUCGAAUUCCCAAACAUGGAAUAUUGCCUUCGUUUUUAGCAAACUCUUUGUUUUAUAGCAAUGAUUUCAAAAUAGGAACGAUGUUAAAAUGCGACAUUUUUAAGCGAAAGAAGUGCGGUGGAAUAAUAAUAUACAACCCAAAGUAGUAAUUUACAAGCAAAAUGCCACAAUAUUGAGUCACAAAUAACUAAUAAAGAAUUAUAAUACCCGUGAUCGCAAUAGAUACAUAAUAUACAAUCUAAACAUUUACAAUCGAUGGAAUUGACACAAAAUGAUAUAUCUAAGAAAAAGAUAAAGGAUAAAAAAUAAAUUAUAUGAAAAAGAUUAGAAUAAAUAAUAAAAAGAGUAAAAAAAAAUACAAAGGUUUAAAACAAUGAGAUAAAAACAAAUGAAAGUUUAAAAAUCAACUAUUGUAAGUAGGAUGAAAAUAGAUAACAUAUAACAAACCAAAUUUUAAAAUAAAAAAAUAUAAAUGGAAAUAAUAUAAAAUAAUUAAUAUGCAAAAUGAUUUUAAAAUAUACAAAAUGAUUUAAAACAAUUAAUUUAGAAGCAACUUAAAUUAACCUAUAAAAAUUUAAAUUUACUAAGUUUGAAAUGAAUAAUAUAUAAAAAAAAUGCGAAACGGUUUAAUAAAAGUAGGAUAUAAGAUCUUAAAAUAAAUACUCAUGAAACGAUUUUUUUGAAUGAAUAAUACAUAAAAAAUUAGAAUAAAUAAUCUAUGAAAAUAACUUAAACUAACUAAUAUAUAUAUAUGAAUAUUCAAAAUUAAUAAUAUAUAAGCUCAAUAUAAAUGACAUACGUGAAAGAAAUUUAAAAAAUAAUUGAAAAAAAUAAUAUAUAGAAAGAUUUAAAAUGAAUAAUAAUAAUAAUAAAACAGGAAAGUAAUAAAUAAAUAAAUCAAAACAGGUUAAGGACAAAUUUGAAAUUAAAACAAAAUCUGAAAUCUAAAAACUAAACAUUAAUCAACAUGAGGAUCAAUAUAGAAUGCACGCAAACAAGUAAGGAUUAAAAAUGAAAUUAUCCCCAAGCUUUUGAACGCAGCGUUUAACUAUAGACCAAAUUAAAACUGCGCCUAAAUAUCGAGAAAAAAUUAAAAAAAAAAUAAAAGAACUAGAAAGGGGACCCAAUCAAGUAACAACACAAAGGGGAUGGAUGAAUAGCGAAAAUAUCCCUUUAGAAAAAAAACGCGCGAACCCUAUCUGCUGGUGGGAUCAACGCGCGGCCCUCCUGCUUUCAAAACGACACCGUUUCUUUUAUUUAUAAAAACUAAAUUUCAGCCUUAAAAACCAUUUUUACUGAAACCUAACAUUUUUUUGACAAAAAAGAAAGGGUUUCCUCUUUUGGCUUUCGGACAUGCCAAUCGAUCACCACCGCACCACCACUAUGUCUGGUGGUCGGCCAUGUGCGAAGAGAGCUCCUUACCCACUCAAACCACGCUCAAAGGCUUAACCAUUUUUAGUAUUAGGGAAGAAAAAUCAAAAAGAGGAGACUCAACCCUUUUUUAAAUCGAUUUCGGAGAAGACGAGGCUCUAACGAUGAACCCAUAGGUGAGUACCUUCCCUCCUUUUGUCUUUUACAUGCAAUGAAUAAAGAUUGAGGAAAUGGAAACGAAAAUAAAAGAAGAACGAGAUCUAAAAUCACCUUAAAAACUAAUUUCGAAUUGAUUUCUCUUCUUUCAAUAUGCAUGUGUUCGUUUUUUUCCUUUCCAUAUACAAUCGGCCCCCUUUUUUAUAGCCGAAUACAGGUAAAAAUAAAUAAAUACAAAUUUCUUUUAUUCUUUCUGCAAUCUGCUGUUGCUUUGCUGUUGUAGUUGUUAGUUUGUUGCAGGUGUGUCCAACUAGAGGACCAACGUGGAGGUCAUGGAGGCGCGAAGAAAGCCGUGCGUGGUAGCUGCGGCGCAAACUGCUUUAAGAAACCCUUAGGGUUGCUGGAAUUUUGGGUUAUUGGCUUGGGCCAUUUGGGCCGGUUACGGAGUUGGGGCACUAUAAUUUGGUCUAUUUGGGGUUUUGGGUGUUAUGGGAUUUUGGGUUUUAAUUUGGGUCUGGUAUAUUUCUGGGUUAAAUCUAUUAUUGGGCUUGUAAAAAAUGGACUAAUUUGGUAUUUUGAAAUGCUGUUAUAAAUGGACAUUGGACCUUUAAAUAAUCUAGUUUAUUAUAUUUUUGGUUUUAAUUUGUGUAUGAGCCAGGGCGAAAUGAGCUUUUUACACAAACAUUCAAUUUAGAUGACAUUAAAAUGAUUACUGUUUAUACGAAUUUACCUUGAUAGUUAGGGCAUGGUAAAAUAAUUGAACUAAUCUGAAGCUUUACAGCAUGUUUGGUUACUAAUCUGAAGCUUUACAGCAUGUUUGGUUGGCUGUAAUAGAAUAGGACUAUAAUUGAAUAGAGUUGUAAUGGAAUAGAGCUGUAAUAAGUAAUUCAACUGUUUAGUUGAAUGGAAUGGAAUAGAAUUGUAAUAGUAUUCUUGUAUUUGGUUGAAUGGAAUGAUAUUA